This 47463-nucleotide long non-coding RNA is filed under the name Malus domestica (apple). RNAcentral describes it as "long non-coding RNA (MDOM_LNC008886)". Lineage: Eukaryota; Viridiplantae; Streptophyta; Magnoliopsida; Rosales; Rosaceae. The record is from RNAcentral.
GCUUACCUUGUCUGUUACCUCAUUCGGCAAAUCUCCUAACUCGGCGACUUGGAUGACUCUUACUAUAAGGUUUGUAUCGCACUUGACCAAGCCAGAAAUUACAAGUAAGCUUCAAUUGAUACAUUACCUUGUGCAUCUUCAUCGAUUAAAGAUACCACCCUUGGAUGAAGGAAAAGUACUUCCAGAGAAGAUGCCACAUCUACAUAUAAGACAGAUAAGGCAAGUGAAAAUGAUACCACACUUCGGUACUUAGAAGUUUUGUGAUUACUUAAUGGCUUGGAUCUUGCAAGUCCCCAAUCGAGAAGCUUCCCUCACUCGGGAACUUAAAGGAGCACUGUUUGUACCAUACUUGACCAACCCCGAAACUACUAAGCACCGGUCAACAUUAUACCACCAAGGACCCACAAGAGUCUCCCUCCAACCAGGAGACCAAUCAGCGACACAUGUCAACAUCAGAGACCAAUCAUAACGCGACACGUGUCGAUAUCAGAGGUCAAUCACAACACGACACGUGUCAAUGUCAGAAUGAAACUAGAAACUCACUUCUAUAAAUAGAGAUCAUUCUCUCACAAUAUUUUCUAAUGUUAUUUGUACUAAAUCAUUCGCUAGUACUCACUAAAGGAGAGCUUGAACCUAUGUACUUGUGUAAACCCUUCACAAUUAAUGAGAACUCCUCUACUCCGUGGACGUAGCCAAUCUGGGUGAACCAUGUACAUCUUGUGUUUGCUUCCUUGUCUCUAUCCAUUUGCAUACUUAUCGACAUUAGUGACCGGAGCAAUCUAGCGAAGGUCACAAACUUAACACUUUCUGUUGUACCAAAGUCCUCACUGAUUUUGUGCAUCAACAUGACUCAUUUUGAUGGAAUUCUGAUGUUGAUGAAAAAGACCAUAUAUGCAUGUUUUGACUAGUUAAGAGACUAAUGGUCAUGGCAAGUGGCCUUUUACCACAAUGGUGGAAAGGUGUUGAGCCUUUCCAUAGCAGCAUUGGUUCAAAUCUUGUUCGGUGUCCAACAUCCUAAUCUAACAAAUCUAUCAUUUGACAAUAAAAAAGAGACUACUGGUCAUGAAUUUUUAGAACAUCUCUAAAGAAGAUGUCAAAUUUGAAACAUCAAAUUGAUAUUUGAUGGCUUAUGUGGCGAAUUGACAUUUUGUACAAUUUUUUUAUUCACUCGAUAUGUUAAAUGAUAAUUCCAUUCUAAAUUUUUUUUUAUCACUUUGUAGGGUCCAUUUAUUGAGGCAACCAAUCUAAUUCUUAGAAUACACAACAACAUUUAUUAUAUGCAUUAAAUGUAAUAAAAAAAAAUACUAAAUGCAUUUGACAGUAGAAGACUUUGCCUUCAAUUGACUCAACGCCAUGUAGGAAAUUGAAGGCUCAGUUGGAGAGAGUGUGCUGCCAAUUUUUACUAUUAUAUACUUAUACGACAGUUUUGACAUCUCCUUUAGCGAUACUCUUAGUUGAAGAAUCAUUACUCCAUUGAGUUAAAGUUGAUGAACUAUUUCUACAAUUUUCUCGGAUUUCAUUUGUUGUAGAAGAGAUCUAAUGUAAGUUCCAGCUAUGUGAUGGUUAGCCGUCCAUAUACACAUAGCGACACUGUGAAAGUGAUAGUGUAAAGGGAUUACAUUUGAGAGAAACUCUAAUUUGUGGAACAUUGAAUUUGUGAAACAUCAAAAGCUUGAGAGAAACUAUUUUUUUAAUUAUAAUUAAGAUAAAUAAAAUAUAUCAAAUUAAAACUUUAAAUAGUCCUGGAAAACCCUUGAAAGAAAAACAAAACAAGACAUUACAAAAAAAUUGAAAAUUAAUUUUAAGACUUAAAAGGUGUUUUUAACCUAGGAAAUUUUUGAAACAAAUUGAUCCUAUUUUGCAACGACGAGUUGGACUCAUCUCUUUUUUUCCUGUUCAGAAAGGUAUUUUGAACCAUCACUGAAACACUAUUUACACUAAAAUUCACCUUUUUGAUAUGCUCGUUCAGCCUUACAUCAUACACAAGUAAUAUUUAGUCAUUAAAACCUACAUAGUCUAUAUUUUAUCAACCAUCACGCGUGAAUGACUGAGCUUUACAAAAUCAUGCACAAAUAGAGACCAUUUUUUAAGUAUAAUUGGUUUGUGUCCCUCCAUUCUUGGAGGGUGGGGAGGGUUAUGCAUUUGCUGGUUAUUUUAUGUUGGGGGAUAGAAACCCAAUUGGGGUUCACUUUCUUUUGGGAUUUGGACAAAUGCAGACGGGGGCCUCAUGUUAUGUUCUCAAACAGGAAAGGGGUGAUUCAAGUGGUCCCAUUUGGCACUUGCUGUAUAAAAAUAAGAUGCUGGGGAGAGAUGGACUGAUGGAAGGGAAAGCUGAAUCUUUGUGUAAUCAGAUCUCAAACCUACGAGUUUUCAUUAAAGGGAGGGCUCUAUGUCCUUGCAUGUGGACCAGGACAAGGUGAUGUAAUUUGUCUAUAAAUGAUGAAACAGUCGAGUUGUGGGAAAUAUGUAGAUCGAUUGACAUGAAACCUUUUUAUCUUGUCCAAACAGUCAUCAAAUUCUAAUAUGUUGAAAAGCUGUGUGGAGAAUGGAUAUAAUUAGAUGACUAGAUUUCUUCAUAAGUAAUCCAUUUACGUACCUUAGUUAGUGGGGUGUAUAUUGUUUUUCUGCUUCUUCAUAAUCCCAAAUGAUCGUAUAACUAAUAUGGUCAUUGUUUGUACCAUACUUGACCAAUCCCGAAACUACUGAUCACGGGUCAACAUUAUACCGUCAAGGACCCAGAAGAGUUUCCCUCCAACCAGGAGGCCAAUCACAGUGCGACACGUGUCGACAUCAGAAGUCAAUCACAGCGCGACAUGUGUCAACAUCAGAAGCUAAAUGAAACUAGAAACUUUCUUCUAUAAAUAGAGAUCAUUCUCUCACAAUAUUCCUAAUGUCAUUUGUACUAAAUCAUUCACUUGUACUCACUAAAGGAGAGCUUGAACCUAUGUACUUGUGUAAACCCUACACAAUUAAUGAGAAUCUCCUCUACUCCGUGGAUAUAGUCAAUCUGGGUGAACCAUGUACAUAUUGUGUUUGCUUCCCUGUCUCUAUCCAUUUACAUACUUAUCCACACUAGUGACCGGAACAAUCUAGCGAAUGUCACAAACUUAACACUUUGUUAUACCAAAGUCCUCAUUGAUUUUGUGCAUCAACAGUUAUGAUAAGCCAAUGUUCUUUGAUCACAAACUGUUGAGAUGUGAGUGAUUAUGUGUUGACUGGUAGCCAACAAAAUACACUAAGAUAUUAUGAUACAUUUAUCGACAAUAUAGGUACUCUUUAUCAACAAAAUAUGACAUCCUGCACUAUAUGUACAAGACUAACCAUGACUCAUAAAUCCUAAAGCUACAAAGCAAGGCGCACCUCUUCAUGUGGAAACUUGGCAUACCAAUUCAUCCAAAUUACAAUAUGUAGUAUCGUUGAGUCUAUAUGUUGUAAUGUAAGUGAAUUGGUGAUAUAACGUGAUAUUAUUACUGUCAUACUAAAUUUUAUUAACAAAAAUUAAGAAUAUUGUUUUGUCCAAUCAUAACUAUUUUUGUUGACGUUUGCAUGGCACAACCAAAAUCGUAUGUCACGUUGCACUUAUUCUCUAAAGCAAACCUAACUCACUUUAAACUCCUACUGCACUCUCCACGUAUAUUUCAAGUACUUUUUAAGAAGUUAUUUGUAUCAUAUAGAAAACCUUACUCAGAUCGCUACAAUUAGAAGAAAUUAUUAGGUAGUAUAUAUAGGGGUGUGAUAUCCACACAUCUUUUUUUACUUCUCACACACCCUUCUAAUUUUUGGCCGUCGGAUCGGAUAAAAUGAAGAAGAUCAACGAACAUAAAUUAACAAGGGGUGUGUGAGAAGUAAAAAAGGGUGUGUGGAUAGCACUAUCCACACAUCCCUUUUUACCACACAUCCUUUUUUACUUCUCACACACCCUUUGAUAAUUUAUGUCCGUUGAUCUUCUUCAAUUCAUCCGAUCCAACUGUCGAAAAUUAAAAAAGUGUGUAAAAAGUAAAAUGGGAUGUGUGGAUAUCACACCCCUAUAUAUAUUUAUUUGAUGGUCUGAUGGAUGAUGGAUCUCUGUUCGCAAGAGUAAUAAUUCUUCACAAGUUCGCAUCAGAAACAUUGUUAUCAUGUCCUUUAUCUAGUUGUCAUCAUCAUAAGUUAAGGAAAUACCAAAGUAUAUUAGCUUUAGAUACGUUUAACAAAACUAUUCUCUUUUUGGUUUAUAUAUAACCGCCCAACAGUACGUAUUAUUAUCUUCGAAUAUCAUGUGUACGCGUACAUUAGAAAAAUAAAAAGUAAAACAAUUGUUUCUCACAACGGAAAUUCCUAUUGAGUAGUUCGAUAUGUUUGCUCGUAUUAGCAAUAUUAUUUGUUAUCUGGAAAUAGUUGAUGAACCAUUAAGUUCAAUUGAAAAAAAAAAAGUAGGAAGAAUUAAUAGUGGGUUUUACAAAUAUGUUUUCAAUUAAUCAUGAACAGAAACUCAACCAGUAAAAGAAGGAAUGAGUAGAGGAGACUGAUUGUGCCAAAUGAUCCUCCUACUCCAAGCUGCACUGGUUUGUGUGCGUACUCUUAUGAAUUGCAGACUUGCAGAGAGUUGUCCAGCUGCUCUGGCGUAUAUACGUACUUCAAGCUUCACUUACACCAUGUAUGGUAGAGAAUCCCACCACAAAGAAAGAUCACACAACACAAAAAAGGGAUCAUCAAUCAUGAUUGCUUAGAUGAUAGAGUGCCGUGUACAUCAUAAGAUAUAGUUUUCUUUUCGUCCUUUGUGCGGUUACAAACUUACGAGUUUUCGUACUCGAAUUUCAUGUAUUUAUUAAAUUUUCAAGACAAAAGUAGAGCCUUGUACACUGAAUUUGCAAUUAACAAGUCAUUAAGGUGAUCUUUAGACAUGCAGAGGUAAACUUAGCGUCGAAUUUAAGCUAUGUUUUAGCUCUUCAAAAAUUAGAUUUUGUAAAGAAUAGUUCAUGUCGUCUUCAUCUCCAACAUUGGAUGGCUAUAUUUCAAACCCCUUAAUAUAUGUUAUAUUGUAGUGCUAAGUAAAAAUUAUGAUACAACACAUUAUAGAAAUAUAAAUCAAUUUUAAGGAAAUAUGAGGGAGGCUUGUAGGCUAUGACUCACUAAUCAUGAUGCGGGAGCCAAGGCUUUAAAAAAUUAAAAAAAAAUUGAAAACUUCUCGUUGGCAUUGGAAAUUCAAAUAAUAAAGGCAUUGUAAUUUAUUUUAAUGACAUAGGAACUUGUUAAGUCAUUUCUAGAGAGUUUUUUAGGAAGUUGUGGUCUAUUUAUGCUUCUUUAUCUUUAGUUCCUUUAAAUAUUGAUGUAUUAGAAGCCAUUGCUAGACUUGAAUGAAUUAAAAUAUAUUUUGCUUUGUGCAAUUGAAGUGAGUGAUUUCUCCUUCCCCAAUCAAGCAUUUGGCUUGGUCAUCCAUGAUUAACGACGUGAGAUAGCUCCGUUGCCCCUGGUUGAGCGAAUCCCAGGUUAUCUAUUCCCUUCUCCUCGAUACCCUUGGUUCUGUCCUGCAUCAAAUGGCAUUAGAGCAGGUUUUCCGCUGCAGUUGAAAAUCAUGGCUAUGAUUAUCAAUCCGUUUCAAGAUCACAUCGUUGAAGAGAUUAGUUUCAUCGAUUGGAAUUCACCACCAAUUUAUGAUGAAUACGUUGAUGAAGACGAAGUCAAAAAUCAUUUUGUGAAUGAAGUUAAUGACAUCGAGCCUUCCAUGCAUCAAAUGGUAAUCUGUUACUGCUAUUCAUCUUUUGGAUGCUACAAGGAUCUUCAAAGUACUCCAAGCAUGAUGCAAAUGGAGAUGCUUCAGACCUACAAGGAAUGGAUGAUGGCAAGGUGCUACUGAUGUCCCAAAUGAAUUUUGAAAAGAAUUUCAGACAGUCUACAAUUUUUGUGACUUCAACAUGGAUGGAACAAGGCGAUGUCCCUCCUUCCUCAAGCCCAGCAAUGAUGCUUAAAGAGGCCACUCAUGUGAUAAGUUGCGGUUAUGAAGACAAAACUGAAUGGGGUUUAAAGAUAGGUUGGAUUUACAAAUUUAUCAUAGAGAGCAUUCUAAGGGGUUUCAAGAUGCAUUCUAGUGUGGUUGGAGGUCAUUUUCAAUCAAAAAGAAGGAACCAGGGCCUACAACGUUUGAAAGAAUGGGGAAAUGGUAUUUUCAUGAAUAUUUUGUGGCUUGGAACACUUUGAUCGCCGUGAACUUCAUUUUACUAUUGUGGUUGUUGUGGAAGAAUCUGCAAGGUCAUCCCAAAGAUCGAGGAAGACCAAAUGGAACUUGAGGACGAGUUUUCUUCGAGAAUGGGAGAAUGAUGCGGGAGCCAAGGCUUAAAAAAACAAAAAAAUAAACACAAAUUGAAAACUUCUCGUUGGCAUCGGAAAUUCAAAUAAUAAAGGCAUUGUAAUUUAUUUUAAUGACAUAGGAACUUGUUAAGUCAUUUUUAGAGAGUUUUUUAGGAAGUUGUGGUCUAUUUAUACUUCUUUAUCUUUAGUUCCUUUAAAUAUUGAUGUAUUAGAAGCCAUUGCUAGACUUGAAUGAAUUAAAAUAUAUUUUGCUUUGUGCAAUUGAAUUGAGUGAUUUCUCCUGCCCCAAUUAAGCAUUUGGCUUGGUCGUAUGAGUGAAUCCACGAUUAGCGACGUGAGCUAGCUUCGUUGCCCCUAGUUGACGAAUCUCAGGUUAUCUAUUCCCCUCUCCUCGAUACCCAUGGUUCUGUCCUGUAUCAAAUCAAGUGCGAGAUUUCUCCUCUAGAUCAUUGAUUAAGGAGUUCAUAUUUCUCUGAGCUUAUCAUUUAUAAGAAAGAGAUGUUGUAACAAAGUAUCCUAAAAUGAAAUCCUUGGUACCGAAAUGAUUAGUCACUUCUUCAUUCAGUACAGUUUUUUUUUCUUUUCUUUUUUUUUUUUUGCUUCAAAAGGGAUCAUGGCUUCGCCACGGUAAUCUACCUUUUUGAAGGCCAGAAAGACUCACAAAGGCAUUUCAGCCUCUCUGGCCCAUCGUGCUAUUCACAAGUGCAAGGAAUUGAACCCAAGAGAUACCGUGUGAAAUACAUAUCUUAAAUUUAUCCCCAACCACUAGACCACCCUGUGGUGGUAUCAUUCAGUAUAGUUAAUUUGAUAUUUAAUUGAUAUUUCCAACUCAUUUAGUUAUAUACUUUAGUUUAGAUUAAAUUUCCAAACCACGUAGUUCUUUUCCCAAUUGACUUGAUCUGGUCACGGAUUAGUAAUAGAACUUUGAAAUUAUUGAUAAUUAUGUGACAGAGAAAAUCCUUAAAACAGCCCGCCAGAAGAUAAGUGCUAGUUAAUAGAGGUAGGAGCAAACAUUCAUGAAAUGAAAUGUCAGGUUCAUCAGUCUUCUCCCCCACUAUAACUAAUUGAGCUGUAUGUUGAUUAAUUAAGAAGAAUCAAGUAGUUAGGCCCUUCCAUCAUCUUCACCUACUACUAUAAGUUCCAACAAUUAUAAUACUAAUCUAAUUGGGCCAACAGAAAAUUAAUGUAACACCUCAUUCACAACGUACCAUAACUAAUUUAAUGUGAUAUUCUGCAUCCAAUAGGAAGUUUUCAAAUUGAAAUCCAACUUGCUUUAUAUGUAUAGGGUGAAAACGUCAAACAUGUUUGGUGGGUUUUAAGUCAGAUUUGGGUAUUUUAAGUUGGGUUAGAAGGUUUAUUAGUUUUCAGCCAUUAGAUUAAUGCAACGGGCGCGUAGAGUGGUUAGUUUUCUAUUACAUUUUUAACUAGUUAGCGCUUGAACACUCUUGCAUAAUACGUAACAAAUAUAAUGUUUGGUUCAAUAUCGAGGUUGAGGAUGAGAAUUAUAAAUUUUCCAGUUUGAGAUAUAUGGUAUUCGAAUUAAAAGUUUUCUAUCAGAAUUAAAACCAGAUCAAGGAAACAAGAAUAUAGUUGAUAGCCAACUAGGUUAAGUUGGGCAGUUUUGUGUCUUAGAAGAAACGCCGACUCUCGUUCACAUCCAUAUUGAGUUAAGAAAUUAAAGUACAAAAUGCCUAUGAGUCGAACAAAGGAACGUUGAUCUUGGGAAAUUUACAACAGGACGAGAACCUGAAAUCAUCAUUUCAAAUGUGUAGGUUGUUAUAUAUGUGCAUCACAUGACCUCUAUGAUAGCAGUGUUUAUCUAGGAUGCGUGAGAGUGUGCAACGGGCUAGGGCAGCUUGACCAUGCCCAGUUUAAUGUCAACCUAGCACAACACAUCAUGAUUUUUUGAGGACUAGGGCAAGCAUGGGACACGCCAUGGCGUGAGACACGAUUUUCGUUGCACGUCUCUGACGCGGGCACGAGCUCAUUGUGAGCUGGACUCGUGCGAAACCCUACCUACCUCCAAACUACAUGCAACUAAAACGUAGUUUGAAUUAUAUGAUAUCCAAAAUAUCAGAUUUAUAGGUUUACCCUCCCUAUAGCUGGAUGACAUCCCGACUACGGGAGAGGCAAGAAUUCAUUCCAGGGAUUUCAAGUAAUUGACCGUGUCAAGGAAGAGUUGGAGAAUAUUUGCCCCGGUGUAGUGUCAUGUGUGGACAUUCUCGUGGUGGCUGCGAUAGACGCCGUUCUGAUAUUCACUCUUAAAAUAAUUAGUUCUCCGCUUCAACUUUAUUUUACUUUACUUUCCACACACCAUUUCUGGCUUCGUCACUGUUUGGACCUGAUUUUACACAUCGGCCUAAGCAAUCGAGGCCGUUGAGUAAGCAUGGUUCUCAACCGUUGGAUAAGAAAGUUUAGAUAUUAUUGUUAAGAGAUAAUAUUAUGAUUUUUAAUCAUAAUAAUUAUUUUUUUUAUAAGUUAUCCCGGUUUUUUAUGCAAAAUAAAUGGGAUGGAGGCAAGUAGAGUUGUGAUGGGGACGUGAGCUUUGAAUCAUGUUGGUUUGUUUUGCUGGACAUGCAUGCAUGGGAUGUAAAGAUAAUGAAGUGAUAGGGGAUAAAUCCAAACAUGCCAAAACGUGUAAUUUGCAAAAGAAUUGUGCAAUAUGGAGAUUCUAUCCUAAUGCAUGGUUUUUUGGGUUUGGUUUUGUGCACGUGGCAUGCGACAAUGGAGAUGAUGGUUUUGCAUGGUGAUGGCAAUAUGGGUUUAAAGGUUUCUCAUGUUUUUUUAAUAAGAAGCCUAGGUGGGUUAGAUCUCUAGUGAGAUGUGAUAAAGCCUAGGUAGGCUUUAUUUAUCUGAAGGAUAUGUGCGGCGUAUUUGAUACGGGAUCAGGGUCAAUUCCACAAAAUAGAGUUGCAGUUGGACUCUACAAAAUUAUUUGGCCGCGUCACACAACAUUUGCUCCUAUAAAUACAGAGAUAGUGGCAACGGAAGAAAGACCCCUGCAAAUCAAUACAAAAUUGCCCUGCGCAAAUUCUCACAACUUGUGAUUUUUCUUUUUCCUUUUUCGCUGACACAUCUUCCGUUGGCGUCAACAGCACUGUGGAAGCAACCGGUGAUAUCUUAAGUCGGCAUAGAUAGCUCUGUCACCGUAGAAUCAAUCGGUCUCGCAGUAUCUUCCGUUGGCAUCAACAGCACUGCGGCGAGAACGGUUAAUUACCUAUCCAAGUCUCGGUCGAGAAGGGUUUCUGAACCCUUAUUGGUCGAUGUCAUCUCAUCAGCCUUCUCGGCGAAGUGAGGUGUUACACGUUAUUACGUUCGGCAUAUUGAAAGCCGAAUUUGAUAUUGAACUUCGUAAGAAUAGUAACCUUGUCUUCAGGUUCGAGAGCCCAAGAGGCCGAGACGUGUUCCUUUCUCGGCCGCAAUCGCAAGACGCAGAAGUCAGCCGCGCACCCAACGCAACAUCAACAAAUUUACUCCUUGGCCGAGCUCGGCCGACGAGUUGGCACGCCCUGCAUUCACCGAAGGACGUAGUUAGCUCAUUAAUUAUUCGGCCUGCACGCCACGUAGGCUUUGUAGUUUUUAGGGUCAACAUUUUGGCACGCCCAGUGGGACCCAGUGCUAAACUACGAAGUUCACAUGAUCUAUCUCGAUCCGGCUUCAAGGGAUGAGUGUUAUCGCCUAUUAAAGGAGCAAAAACAACUUCUCGAAAGUUUGAGAAGAAUUUCUGAAAGGCAAAAGGCCGAGGGGCAAAUCUCCACUCCGGCCACAACCAAUAUUCGGCCUAAGAAAAGUGAUAAUUUGGCCGAAGAACAAAGGCCACUUGUUGUUUCGGUAGAGACUGAAAAUAUAGUAGGCCUAGAAGAAAAAAUUCAAGUCCCUAAGCUAUAUACAAAAAUUGACUUGGAAAAAGAUUCGUCAAAAGAAUGCUCUAGUGACGAACGAGGCCGAAAUAUUGGCCUAGCCCGAGAAACUACGCCAAUUGAUAUGAUUAUUGGCAAUAAAGCCGAUAUGGAGAAAUCCUGUUCGGCUAAGUUAUUUGAAUUAAAAGCCGAAAUUAUGCUUGGGGGGCUGUUUGGACUCAAAUUUACACCAUCGGCCCAUGUAAUCAAGGCCGUUGAGUGAGCAUAGUUCUCGACCGUCAGAUGGAAAAGUGAAGAUAUUUUUGUUAAAGGAUAAUAUUAUGAUUUUUUAUCAUAAUAAUUAUUUUUUAAUGAUGAAUUAUCUUGAUUUUUUCCUGGUACAAGAUGGAUGAGAUGUAAAUGUAGUUCAAUUUGAUUUGGGAUUCUUGGAGUUAAGACGCGUGGUGGAUUGGGAGCAUCAGAGCACGUUAUUAAGAGUCCUAAUACACUACUGCAUUGUUGGCAAAUGGAAAUUGGCAGAGAUAUUAAUGCUUGCAUAAAGAUGAAGAUGUUAAAUUGGAGAUGGAUAGCCACGUGUGAGUGGAUUUGGUGGAGCCAUGCAUGCAUAUCAUUAUUUCAAGUCAAGAUGCUUAUCGGCACUAAUUGGUAUAUGCUAAUAUGCUAUUAAUUAGCAAGAGGUGGUUGCAUGUUGGUAAGUGAUAACAAUCUUUUUGCAUGAGAUUGUUAUGAAUGAGGACUUUGAUGUUGGCGGCAGCUUUACAACACGAGCCGUCAGGAUGAGGAUGAUACUUAUAAAUACAGAGUCGCAAACAACGGGUAGGACCCCUGCAAAUCAAUACAAAAUUGCCCUGCGCAAAUUCUCACAACUUGUGAUUUUUCUUUUUUCCUUUUUUCGCUGACACAUCUUCCGUUGGCAUCAACAGCACUGUGGAAGCAACCGGUGAUAUCUUAAGUCGGCAUAGAUAGCUCUGUCACCGUAGAAUCAGUCGGUCUCGCAGUAUCUUCCGUUGGCAUCAACAGCACUGCGGCGAGAACGAUUGAUUAUCUAUCCAAGUCUCGAUCGAGAAGGAUUUCUGAAUCCUUGUUGGUCGAGGUCAUCUCAUCAGCCUUCUCGGCGAAGUGAGGUGUUACAAGUGACUACAUUCGGCACGUUGAAAGCCGAAUUUGAUAUUGAGCUUCGUAAAAAUGGUAACCUUGUCUUCAGGUUCGAGAGCCCAAGAGGCCGAGACGUGUUCCUUUCUCGGCCGCAAUCGCAAGACGCAGAAGUCAGUAGCGCGACCCAACGCAACAUCAACAAAUUUACUCCUCGGCCGAGCGCGGCCGACGAGUUGGCACGCCCUGCAUUCACCGAAGGACGUAGUUAGCUCAUUAAUUACUCGGCCUGCGCGCCACGUAGGCUUGGUAGUUUCUAGGGUCAACAUUUUGGCACGCCCAGUGGGACCCAGUGCUAAUACUACGAAGUUCAUAUGUUAUAUCAAGAUUCCAAUCUGGCUCAACGUAGCUGAUUGUACGAGCUCCUGGAGGAAUUGAAAAAACAUAAUGAGGAAUGCAAAAAAUCUUUGGAAGCAGAAAAAGUUCUUCGUGGCCAUAAAGAGAUGCAAAAGUCAUUCGCUUGCAUGGUGAAAAUAAAAGCUCCUGUUACCCUGCAUGGGUAAAUGAAGACAGGGCUCGAUUUAAUGCCUGGCUAGAUGAAGAACGUUUUCCUUACGUUUCUGAUUACAGAUCAAUUCCAUUUGAAAAAUGGUUAGGUCCAAAGGCCGGGGGGCAAUUUUUCGCUCCGGCCACAAUCAAAAUUCGGCCUCAAAAAAUUGUUAAGGCGGCCGAAGAAAUACUUAGGCCACCUGUUGUUUCGGUCGAGAUUCAAAGUGUGGUAGGCCUAGACGAAAAAGUUGAAGUUUCUGAGCUAAAAAUCGACUCAGAAAAUGAUUCGUCAGAAGAGUGCUCCAAUGACGAACAAGACCAAUACACGACUUCAAACCAUAAAAUCACAUCGAUUGAUAUGGUAAUUGAAGACAUAGGUCUAGCCGAAAAAAUCACGCCAAUUGAUCUGAUUAUUGGUGAUAAAGCCGAUAUGGAGAAAUCCCGUUCGGCUAAGUUGCUCGAGUUAAAAGCCGAAAUUGGUGAAAUAAUUAUGCCCAGGGGGCAUAAUACUUGUUCCACACAUUCGGCGGCUGAAAAUGCAAAAUAUUUUGCCGAGUCAAAAAUAUUUGGGAAAAAUUCUUUAUUCGGCCUAGAGCGAAAUCAAUUUGAAAAUUUUGAUGCAAAAAGAUCUUGGCUUGGAAUAAAACAUCGUUGGUCUCCUCCUGAUUAUGGUUCGGCCACUUUUAUUUUCGUUUGCUAAAAUAUUAAAUAAAUUAUUUUCUUAACUAUUCGGCUUUUUAGGCCGAUGCAUAAACAUAAAAAGGGGGUAGUAUUGUUUUGACCGAUUUGUGUUCGGAUUUAAGAUUUAUUCGGCAUAUAACAUAUCAUGCAGAAAUUAAUCAUGGCAUGAACUGUUCUAGCACGAAGUGUUACAAUUUGGCGUCAAAGCAGGAGUUGAAUCAUGGCAUCUGCAAUUAGAGUCUCGGCCAAAAGAGUGGUUGCCGAGCCAUUCAAUGCACCUGGGAUUGGUUUGGCCGAAUAUAUAUAUAUAAGAGUUUAGCCGAACUCUCGACUACCUUACAAAAGCCUCGGCCAAAGCUGCAUAUAUAUGAUUCGGCCAAAACUGUAUAUAUAUAUAUAUAUAUAUAUAGGAAUUGCUUAAGGGGAGGGAUCCCCAUUUUUUCAAAAAAAUGGGGACACACUCCCCACCGUUGGAUUUGAAUUAAAUGAAAUCCUGUGGUUGAGAUUCUAUGGCCUGUGUUUUAAUCUCAACCACACAAUUUCAUUAAAGUCAAUCUAACGGUGGGGAGCGUGUCCCCAUUUUUUUUGAAAAAAUGGGGAUCCCUCCCCUUAAGCUCCCUGUAUAUAUAUAUAUAUAUAUAUAUAUAUAAAGAAAAUGGGGAUUCUCGGCCACAACUAUAUAUAUAUAUAUAUAUAUAUAUAUAUUGGGGGGGUUGUUUUUAAUGAGGGCAUUAGAGACUCGGUGGACGUCAAAUCUUGGUCAAAUGAGUGGGUCUGAGUUUCAAUGGCCAUGUGGGGUCGAGGGUUCAUGAUUUAUCUUGGUCAUGAUAGAUGAGUGAUAUUCAAUUGGAGGAAUUCAGCACAGUAUUUUGCCGAAUAAGUUUUUAUUCGGCGGUGGUUUCUCCAAUAAUUCUCGGCCAUAUGUUUUUCUCGGUCACUCGGAGGUAGUCAGUCAUCGGUAUUAUUAUUGGUAAAUCAGUAUUAUUGGAUGAUCAGACUUGGUGCAUACAGCUGAGCUAUCAGGGAUAAGGCCGAGUAAUCAACCGAGCUACCAAGAAUUAGUCAUUGCUGAGCCUUGCAUAUAGAAUGAUGGCUACGAACAAUUAAUUUCCUUAAAUAUUCGGCUUAUGAGCCGAAGUUCAAGGAAAUUGGGGGGCAAUGUUUGGACUCAAAUUUACACCAUCGGCCCAUGUAAUCAAGGCCGUUGAGUGAGCAUAGUUCUCGACCGUCAGAUGGAAAAGUGAAGAUAUUUUUGUUAAAGGAUAAUAUUAUGAUUUUUUAUCAUAAUAAUUAUUUUUUAAUGAUGAAUUAUCUUGAUUUUUUCCUGGUACAAGAUGGAUGAGAUGUAAAUGUAGUUCAAUUUGAUUUGGGAUUCUUGGAGUUAAGACGCGUGGUGGAUUGGGAGCAUCAGAGCACGUUAUUAAGAGUCCUAAUACACUACUGCAUUGUUGGCAAAUGGAAAUUGGCAGAGAUAUUAAUGCUUGCAUAAAGAUGAAGAUGUUAAAUUGGAGAUGGAUAGCCACGUGUGAGUGGAUUUGGUGGAGCCAUGCAUGCAUAUCAUUAUUUCAAGUCAAGAUGCUUAUCGGCACUAAUUGGUAUAUGCUAAUAUGCUAUUAAUUAGCAAGAGGUGGUUACAUGUUGGUAAGUGAUAACAAUCUUUUUGCAUGAGAUUGUUAUGAAUGAGGACUUUGAUGUUGGCGGCAGCUUUACAACACGAGCCGUCAGGAUGAGGAUGAUACUUAUAAAUACAGAGUCGCAAACAACGGGUAGGACCCCUGCAAAUCAAUACAAAAUUGCCCUGCGCAAAUUCUCACAACUUGUGAUUUUUCUUUUUUCCUUUUUUCGCUGACACAUCUUCCGUUGGCAUCAACAACAGCACUGUGGAAGCAACCGGUGAUAUCUUAAGUCGGCAUAGAUAGCUCUGUCACCGUAGAAUCAGUCGGUCUCGCAGUAUCUUCCGUUGGCAUCAACAGCACUGCGGCGAGAACGAUUGAUUAUCUAUCCAAGUCUCGGUCGAGAAGGAUUUCUGAAUCCUUGUUGGUCGAGGUCAUCUCAUCAGCCUUCUCGGCGAAGUGAGGUGUUACAAGUGACUACAUUCGGCACGUUGAAAGCCGAAUUUGAUAUUGAGCUUCGUAAAAAUAGUAACCUUGUCUUCAGGUUCGAGAGCCCAAGAGGCCGAGAUGUGUUCCUUUCUCGGCCGCAAUCGCAAGACGCAGAAGUCAGUAGCGCGACCCAACGCAACAUCAACAAAUUUACUCCUCGGCCGAGCGCGGCCGACGAGUUGGCACGCCCCGCAUUCACCGAAGGACGUAGUUAGCUCAUUAAUUACUCGGCCUGCGCGCCACGUAGGCUUGGUAGUUUCUAGGGUCAACAGGGGCAUAAUAAUUGUUCAGCGCAUUCGGCAGCUGAUAAAAAAUCUUUCGUCAAGUCAAACAUAUUUGGAGAUAGUAUUUUAUUCGGCCUUGCAAAAAUUCAAAGUGAAAGUUUUGAUACAAAAAGCCUUCGGCUUGGAAUAAAACAUCGUUGGCCUCCUCCAUUUAUAGUAGGGCCACUUUUGUUUUCUUUUGCUACAAAAUAAGAAUAAAUUAUUUUCUUAACCAUUCGGCUUUUUAGGCCGAUGCUUAAGAAAAUAAAGGGGGCAAUAAGAUGGUGCGGACUUAGAAAAACAAGAAAAAACAAGAUGGUGUACUCGGCAGACAAUUUUGGUCAAAUAAUGGUGUAUUUGGCAGACAGUUUUGGUCGAAUGAAUUUGCGAGAGCAUGCAUGACAAUUGUUCGGCAGACAGUUUUGGUCAAAUGAAUUUAUGGGAGCAUGCAUGGUUGCGAAGCUUGCUCAAUUCAGUUUCGAUGUGCGGUUUAAUAUAUAUAUAUAUAUAUAUAUAUAUAUAUAUAUAUAUAUAUAUAUAUGUCAGAAUGACCCAUCACAUGAAACAGAAAGAGAGACGCAUACGGAAAAGACAAAGGAAUAUUCAUGAAGUUAUGGUAGGCUUCCAUAUGGGCUAACAUUUUCGUUUGGUGAUGUAGUGAUCUGUGAAUUCCUAACAGCAUUAUUUGGCCGAAUACAAAUCUUUGGCCGAAUAAAACAUAGUUCGGCCGAAUAGAAUGGGUUAUAUAUAUAUAUAUAGGCUCUACAGCCAGUUCUUCUCGGUCUCGGCCCCAUUUACUCUCGAUCCCAGUAUUUUUGACCGAUACUAGUGUUUUCUCGACCCCGACAGUUGAGAGUUGGAGUAGUUCACGACACUGGCAGAGGGAGGUUAUGACAUUGGCAGAACAUAGGUGAUUUUAAUACCGAGAGACAAAAUUUGUUUCGGCAAUACGACGAAGUGUUGUUGGCUACGAGCAAUUAAUUUCCUUAACCAUUCGGCUUACGAGCCAAAGCUCACGGAAACUGGGGGGCAAUGUUUGGACCUGAUUUUACACAUCGGCCUAAGCAAUCGAGGCCGUUGAGUAAGCAUGGUUCUCAACCGUUGGAUAAGAAAGUUUAGAUAUUAUUGUUAAGAGAUAAUAUUAUGAUUUUUAAUCAUAAUAAUUAUUUUUUUUAUAAGUUAUCCCGGUUUUUUAUGCAAAAUAAAUGGGAUGGAGGCAAGUAGAGUUGUGAUGGGGACGUGAGCUUUGAAUCAGGUUGGUUUGUUUUGCUGGACAUGCAUACAUGGGAUGUAAAGAUAAUGAAGUGAUAGGGGAUAAAUCCAAACAUGCCAAAACGUGUAAUUUGCAAAAGAAUUGUGCAAUAUGGAGAUUCUAUCCUAAUGCAUGGUUUUUUGGGUUUGGUUUUGUGCACGUGGCAUGUGACAAUGGAGAUGAUGGUUUUGCAUGGUGAUGGCAAUAUGGGUUUAAAGGUUUCUCAUGUUUUUUUAAUAAGAAGCCUAGGUGGGUUAGAUCUCUAGUGAGAUGUGAUAAAGCCUAGGUGGGUUAGAUCUCUAGUGAGAUGUGAUAAAGCCUAGGUAGGCUUUAUUUAUCUGAAGGAUAUGUGCGGCGUAUUUGAUACGGUAUCAGGGUUUAUCUGAAGGAUAUGCGCGGCAUAUUUGAUACGGGAUCAAGGUCAAUUCCACAAAAUAGAGUUGCAGUUGGACUCUACAAAAUUAUUUGGCCGCGUCACACAACAUUUGCUCCUAUAAAUACAAAGGUAGUGGCAACGGAAGAAAGACCCCUGCAAAUCAAUACAAAAUUGCCCUGCGCAAAUUCUCACAACUUGUGAUUUUUCUUUUUCCUUUUUCGCUGACACAUCUUCCGUUGGCGUCAACAGCACCGUGGAAGCAACCGGUGAUAUCUUAAGUCGGCAUAGAUAGCUCUGUCACCGUAGAAUCAAUCGGUCUCGCAGUAUCUUCCGUUAGCAUCAACAUCACUGCGGCGAGAACGGUUGAUUACCUAUCCAAGUCUCGGUCGAGAAGGGUUUCUGAACCCUUAUUGGUCGAGGUCAUCUCAUCAGCCUUCUCGGCGAAGUGAGGUGUUACACGUUAUUACGUUCGGCAUAUUGAAAGCCGAAUUUGAUAUUGAACUUCGUAAGAAUAGUAACCUUGUCUUCAGGUUCGAGAGCCCAAGAGGCCGAGACGUGUUCCUUUCUCGGCCGCAAUCGCAAGAUGCAGAAGUCAGCCGCGCACCCAACGCAACAUCAACAAAUUUACUCCUCGGUCGACGAGUUGGCACGCCCCGCAUUCACCGAAGGACGUAGUUAGCUCAUUAAUUAUUCGGCCUGCGCGCCACGUAGGCUUUGUAGUUUUUAGGGUCAACAGUCACAUUUCAGGUGUCGGCUAACACUACUUAUUUUCGGUGUCCACUUGAAUAUAUGGGUCAGGGUGUGUCAUAAUGAACGCAGGCGAGCAUGGAUUCGCAACGGGGGUUCAAAAUCAAGUAGAUCCGAAUUGAAUCUCACAAAAACCCGACUGGAUUAUCAUCGGGAAGACUGUAGGCUCUCGAGGAUGGGUGGUUUCACCAGAAAAUGGUCAAACAAGGCCGGGGACAGGGACGACGCAAAAAUGGCAUCAUUUGGUCCUAGGGUUUCAGAAUAAGAGCAGCUAGGCUCCUUGUGGCUUGCGACGCAGCUUGGCGACUCGGCUUACACGCUUCAGGUCGUGGCUCGCGCGGGAGGUUGCAGCAACCCUAAUUUUCUUCUUUCUUUCUGUUCUCACACAAUCAUUAAUUCACCACAACAACAUAUAAGCAAAAUAAUAUUAUAAUUCGAAAAGCAUAAAAUUGGGUUCAUGCACUAUGUUGAAGAUUUCAUGCAAUUAGAGCUGGAAAAAAAAUCAAAAUUGAAACCGUAUUUUAGAAGUUACUUAGAUUGUAUGAUCAAAAUUUUGAGCUGUUUUGUAGCAGAAAAUAGCCUCUAGAUUCAUAGCGCAACGUCUAGAGUGUGCUGAUAACAUUUUGUUUCAUAUUUUACUAAAAGAAAGGGAAAUGGUGUGGUGAUAGUGGUGGAGAAAAAGACUCGGAAAAAUUGGUGUAUGUUCCCUUGUGCCAAUGCCUUUAUUUAUAGUAAACAGAAAGAAGAAGCAAACUUGCUCACCAAAAACACAUAGUCUAAUAGAAAAAAAAAAUCAUCUAAAUUACAUAGAAAUCCUAAUUCAAAUCUACCAAAAUUUACCGAAUUAUACUACAUCAAUAUUAAAUGUAACAAUAUUGACUAUGAUCCUACAGUUUUAUUUGCCAGUGUAUGUCUUUUAGCUAGCUUUAUAAUAACUUAUCAAUUUGAAUUUUUUGUCCCAACAAGUAAGCUAAUAUAUAUUAAAAAAUUAGUAUGUGUACACACACAAGAGAGCCAUAUAGUCUUUGGUCUUAUUGUCUCAAAAGUCAGAAGAGAAGACCCGAAGAACGAGCACUCCUCCAUAGUCCACAUUUCUCUACGGUCAUAUUCGGCGGACAAAAUUCUAUGCUCCAACGUCUUCGCUCUCCUUUUUUUUUUUUUUUUUUUUUUUUUUUUUUUUUUUUUUUUUUUUUUUUUUUUUUUUUUUUUUUUUUUUUUUUUUUUUUUUUUUUUUUAGCAAAUGAUAUUAUUUAUAUUAAAUGAUUGAGAUAACAUGUCAAAUUUCACACGUAACUAGCUAUAAUAAUGUUAUUUAAAUUCAUCUUUGACGAGAAUUGAAACUAAGACCUUACUUAUAAGUGAAAAUUAAUAUCAUUAACUCGUAGUACUAAAUAACACUUUAAUCUUUAAAAUUUACAAUCAAACUAGAUUUUUUUUCUCCUUUCUAUAUCCCGUGUUCCAAUUUCCACAUCCACACUUACAAAGUCGUACACGAUGACAUAGCACCAUACCCAUAUAUGGCAUUUGAUGUUUCUAGUCCUCGACUAACAUGAAACGUACAGUCGAUUCUUUCCCUUAGUCCCACUAGUCACAUGUGAUUCCUAUUCUUUUAUAAACAACUUUUUUUUAUUUAUUUUUUUUCAGCCAAAGAAGUUAAUUAAAAUUUUCAAACUGAAAAAUUAUUUAAUCAAUUACAAUAGCAUAAUAUUCAAACUGGAAUUUUUUUUUUUUUAGAGAAUGAUUUUCUACUCAAGAGGUGUGGGGAUUGAACCAUGCCACAUAAGGGGUUAGCUCUUAACUAAAUAUCAAACUCAACUCGAAUAUAAUACAUCAUCGCGAUCCAUAUGAGCAAAACCUGAGACGACUCACUUGAAAAUAGAGAUAAUUAUCACUAAAUCAUAGUACUAGCUGGUCACUUUAAUACAGUACUCACACUUGUAGGCUUUGGCUACACUAGCAUCAAUUAACUCUUGAUAUAACGUAAUUUUACUUCUUAAUAUUAUUCCCAAUUGAUUAACAAAACUACUAUAACAAAAACAAAUAAUAUAACUAAAAUAUGGACUUACGAAAAAUAAAAGAAAAUGAUUUUCGUACAAUUUUCCUCACUCUACGCAUCUCUAUUUAUUUUAAUCUAUCGAUUCUCAUUUAUUUCAUUUAAUUCAAAUACUAGAAAUAAAGUGGCAUUAAGACUAAGAAGGUACAAAUCCCAUCAGCUCAUGGGCAUUAGUGGAAUUUCGCCCUUCUUUAACUGCAUUGUCCCUCCAUAUGCAAGUUAAUUUCACGCGGAUACAAACCCAAUACUUAACUAAGCAACAACAGGCCCACAUUUGACCAACAACUAAUUUAGUCGUAUUUACAUACACACCCCUGUCCCACCACCACCAAGUCAAAACGACGACGUCACCUUCGUCCUCAAAAACUCCUCCAACCUCCACUUCCUUCCAAAACACAACAAACUCAAACCUCUCCGUCUGAGAAACUCUGGAGCACCAAACAAUCAACUCGCCACUAAAAAUGGGGAGGGAGCGGGACCAUCUCUACAUCACCGUUCCCAACCUCUUCCGCUGCCCCAUCUCCAUGGACGUCAUGCGCUCCCCCGUCAGCCUCUGCACCGGCGUCACCUACGACCGCGCCAGCAUCCAGCACUGGCUCGAAUCCGGCCACGACACCUGCCCCGCCACCAUGCAGAUCCUCCAGUCCAAAGACGUCAUCCCCAACCUCACCCUCCGCCGUCUCAUCAACCUCUGGGCCCAGUCCCACGGCCCUUCCUCGCCGGCCUCCUCUCCCUCUCUCUCCUCCCAGCACCUCGCCUCCCUCGUUCAAUUUCUCCGCAAUGAGAACGAGACUGAGAAAUUCAGCCAAAAUAUCGUAAACUCAUUGUCGAAGACUGCCGAUUUCGCGAGGGUCGGCGAGGAGAACCGGAGGUUUGUGGCGAAUUUCGACGGCUUCGUCUCCGCCAUUGUGGGGAUUCUGAACAGAGAAGGCGUCGAAAUCGAAGUUCUCGAAUCGGUAAUUAAGGUUUUGGAUUCGAUUUUGCCUCAAAGCGGAGUCAACGAGCAAUUGAGCCGAUUUAUUGCGAAGAGCAACGGCAAUUACCUCGCUUCAAUUCGAUUGGUACUGCAGAAAGGAAGCCUGAGCUCGAAGAUCGAAUCCGUCAAGGUUUUGGAUUCGAUCGCGCUCGACGCCGAGUCGAAACGAUUAAUCGCGGAGAAGGAAGGCUUAUUGUCCGUAUUCAACGAUCUGUUGAGCUUGGAAACGUGUCAGGACCUAUACGGCGCCGUUUUCUCAUGCUUAGCAUCAUUGUCCGUGAAUCGGUCGAUUAAAGCCGAGCUCGUCCGGUUCGGACUAGUCCGAGUUGUAACGUCAACGCUGCUAAAGCCGGACACUAGCACUACCCUUGCGGAGAAGUGUUUGAAGCUGUUAUCCACCAUUGCCACGUGCGCCGAGGGCCGGUCGGCGAUCAGCGGGGAGGAGAAGUGCGCGGAGGCGGUGGCGGAGAGGCUGAUGAAGGUGUCGAGGGGGGCGACGGAGGACGGCGUGGCGGUGCUGUGGAGCGUGUGCUGCAUGUUGGGGGACAAGAGGGCGAGGGAGAGCGUGGCGGGAGGAAAUGUGGUGGCGAAGGUGUUGUUGGUGAUGCAGAGUGGGUAUGGAGAGGGGCAUUUUGUGAGGAGGAUGUGUGGGGAUUUGGUCAAAGUUUUGAGUGUUGGGUUAGGGUUGGGGUUGAGGUAUGACACCAAGACUAUACAUAUCAUGCCUUGUUAGAAAUUGUUCAUGAUGAUAAUCUUGCUCAUUUAUUUUUUUUUUGGAAAUUGUGAAUUUGGAUAAAAAAUUUUAUAGAAACAAAAAGGAAAAUUCUUUUUAGUUUUGUAGUCAUUGAUCAUCAUUAUGUGAUUGAUGUUGUAUGAUUAGUAGAGAUAUUUUUGUGUGCUGUGAACAUGACCCGGUAUAUUAAGAAUAGUAUUACAAUUCGUUGGAAACUUUAAAAAAAAAAUUCCAAGAAAUUGUAUGUGCUGUGUUUCCGGAAAAAUUUCUUGGGUUUGUGGGGAUGUGAAUAUGCAAAAUUAUGUUGAUAAGAUGGCUUAAGUGAUUAAAAGAAUGAAGAAAUAAACAACUUUUUGUUAAUCUCAUGUUAAUCUUCUUUUUUGAUUUGUUGUUUCUUUUAUUGUUAAUUCAGAAAAGUUUCAUGAUGAAUUUGUUUGGACUUUGAAAAAGGAUUAGGGACAAGAAUCCAAUCCAUCGUAAAAGGGGCAAGUUUUGAUAUGAUUUGCAAGUUAUAACUUGUUAAGUAAGAGAACGUAAGGAGAUCUAUUGUAUACUUGGGUAAAUUUAAUUGGUCUUAAGUUCAAAUUUAUUUCUAAGUAAUUUUGGAGUAAUUGUGAUCAAAUAGUUGUAUGCUUUUUUUUAGAGUGGACUUACAAGUCACAGUUGUAUUGCCUCAACUACGUUUUAUACCAAUAAUACAAUACCAUGCAGAGAAAUUUACACAUAAUGUUGUAUAUUUGGCAUGAGACUAUCUUAGUGAAAAUGUAUCCAUGCCAUAGAAGUCGUCCUCUCUUUUGUGGGUGAGGUAGUUCUGGGCAAUGAACCUGUAUGAAAAAAUAUGAGUUGUUGAGCUAUGCACGAGUGUCAAACGUAACAUGGCUUAUUUUCGUAUCCCUGGUAAACAAACUACAAAAUCGUUGCUCUUAGAACAGUAUGUGUUUAAUUUCAAAAACGAGACAAAAAUGAUUGUAAAGAAAAAACACUAAAUAAGGAGACAAAUUCAGGCUAGUUUGCGUUCGAAUUUUACAGGGUAAGGCAACAACUUGGCUGUAGUAGGCAUCUGGUUUGCAAAAAUCCAGCAGAAAACAAUUGUAUGGACAACAAAUUGCGAUGCUCCGAUGCGACUCUCUAACAAUGUAAAGCUGUUUUGAAGUGGUGAAGGAACAAGGGUCAUGGCGCCAGAUAACCGAGUUGUAUCAGCAACCAUUUUUAUGAGCCUGCUGCCUCGGCUUCCAUGCUCGAUUCUGGUAACUUUGUCAUCUACAACUCGGACUCAAAUAUCAUUUGGCAGAGUUUUGAUACUCCAACCGAUACCAUUGUAUCUGGCCAGCGAUUGCUGGCUAGAAAGAAGCUUGUCUCCAGCAUCUCCGACACAAAUCAUGCAAGCGGAAGAUUUAGACCUUCAAUGUAGCGUGAUGGGAACCUAGAGAUGUACCUGGAGUGUCCAAUUAUAUUACAACCUGAUUGAUCGGUAUGCUUACUCAAAUAGUGGGACGUACAGGGCUGGAGACAAUGAGUCACUCAACGUUGAUCACAAUGGACAGUUAUAUCUCCUCAGUUACAAUAUAAGGAACGCUACGAAUCAGAAAGAGCUGUUUGACACACACACGUAUGUACCACAUGAUGAUUGACUUUGAUUGUAUUACUCCAGUUAUACUUCCAUACUAUUUAUAUUUAAUUUUAAAUUUUAAAUGAUUUUUAACCGCACGAUAUACAUGAACGGACAUAAUUAUGGGAUCCUCCAAAUUCCUGAGAAAAGGACGUCGAACAAGAAUCUUUGGUUGCUCCAUUGUCUCAUUUGACGGACUGAAAUAACGGAGCUAACAAACUGUAAGUACAAAGGACGAAAGUGAAAAGAAAAAGGCUAAAGGGAGGUAAGUGAUAAUUCGAUUUAAACUAACGGGACCAUGAGUGCAAUCUGACUCGCUCCUUAACUUGGAAAAGCCAACCAGGGCGUUCCAAGUGUGAUGAUGAACACGUGCCGAAACACCAUUGGAUUCUGGAGGGGAACCAGUGAGGCCUCCCGCAGCAAAGCCACACAAAAUGAUACACAAGCGAUCUGAGUCGUCGGCGAGGAUCCUUUUCCGUGAAAAAUCGAUCGAAGAAGCAAAGGCAGGUCACUGAAUAAAGAAAUAAAAACACAGAAGCUGAAGCUGUUGCGGGAAAAAGCUUGACCAAAUCAGGGUUCCCGAAUUCGAAUCGCCAACGAGGUUAACCAGAUUAGGGUUUUAACAAAAUUUUUAAGUUACUUUUACCAUGUUGUAAUUGCUUAAUUUUUUUUGCUGAAAUUCAGAAAUUUGCAGGAAAACUGAAAUGGGGGACGGCCUAUGGAACCGCCAGCAGCAGCAGCAGCAGCAGCAUCAACUGGGUCCCUCUGGCGGCGUGCAUAAACGACCUCGUUCCGACUACGGUAACUCCUCUGUGGCCAUUUCUCAUAGUUUUUUUCUUUAAUUAGAUGAAAUUGCGAUUGCAUUCGUUUGCAUUAUAGAUUUAGUUGUCAAACCAUUUAAUUUCUGACUUCUUGUUUAUAAUUCGAGCGAUAUUAUAAUCUAAUCGAAACUAUGGGGAGAGGGGGAUUCGAACUUGGGUGCAGAUGGGGAGCACACUGCUCGAGCCAACUUAGCUAGGCCAAAGUCUGCUUCUUCGUGUUAUAAGUGUUUUUACUUUAGUGGUUCUUGAUGGGUUUCGGGUUUCAAUGUAAAUUAUGUUUCAAAGUGGUGAAAUUUAUGUGAAGGGUCAAGGGUAUCUAGACAAAGGAUUCCAGUUCAGUUGUCUGAUGACUCUGCUUGUAUGUAUCUCCCCUUACUCUAGUAGAUAUGCAGAUUCUGGUUUUGUAGCUAGGUGUCUCUUUUCUUUUCUUUUAUAAAAAUUACAAUAAAUGUUUUGCUUCCAUAGUUCCAUGUGUACUCUUACAUCUUCGGGGUCUUCUUGAAGCAUAUAAUAUAGUCUUAGCCUAUCUGUUCCACUUACUACAAUUGCGAUCAACACUCAUACUCGUAUGAUUCCAUAUAAUAAUGUAUCUUCCACGAAAGCUUUACUAAGCAUAUGAUUUCUGUUAUUAUUUUCUUUGUAACCAGAUCACAGUUUUUGGCCUUCAUGUUUCCUUCGGUCCAUUGUUAAUGAUAUUAUUUACUGGAUUUCAUAUUUAGAGCAACUUUUGAAUGAUUUCCACAUUAGCGGUAGUUUUAGAAGUUACUGGUUGUUAUUAAGUUAUGUUCAAGGGGGGAAAACCUUGUUCGGUGUGUUUGCUAAGACCUGUGUGAAAAUGGAAACUACUACAAAAUCAUUCAGGUUUCCAAUUACAUUGCAAGGUACUUAAGAAUGGAUCUUUUCCUGAACCCAACCAAACCCCAAACCUCUGAAAUUAUCAAGUAGAUUCUUUCCUUUUAGUGCGGUCAGUCUUCCAAUCUAAUACUAUUCUUCAAUAAUUAUGGUAAUAAGAUCCUCCAUACAUAUUUAUAAUGCAAUUAUGUUUAUAUACAAAUUGAUGCAUAUUAUUGGUAUACAUUUUGAUAUAACCAAAUUCCCCUUUUUUUUCAUUUAGUUAUUUGUUUGCUGAGUUGUUCUUGUUAUAACUUCUUAGUCACUGAUCAAAAGCCUAGACUUGUAUAUUGUAUGUAGAUGUUUUGAUUGGUAUGUUUUCUUUGUACUUUUGAACAUUGGUGGCAGUUUUACUUGUUCAAAUACCACCUAGUUGUUAGUAGUGAUAUUGUUCAUUCCGCACCUUGGGUCUAACUCUGCACAUUAAAGAGUAGGUUUUUACCUUGUUAAUUGACGGGGCAUACUCUACUUCCACCUCAUGCUUCUCAAUUGGUUUCUUGAUUUAAGUUCUUCCAUCUGCUUUUUUAUUUUUUAUGCCUUUUCUCUUGUUCUAUAGUUGUAAUAUAUACAGCUGAAUUAGGGUCUAUUUGUUAAUGUUUUCUCAAUGUUGUGCCUUUAAAUAUAGGUAAAUUAUGCGCUUGGUGCAUUAAGUUUGUUAAACAUGGGAAACAUAUUCUGUAAAAUGAUCUCAACUUUUGUUCUUCAAGUUAGGAAACAACCAUUCCACUAUUUAUGUUGUUUUCAGGGGGAUUGUGAAACAUGGUGAGUAGUUAGAAACAAAAAAAGGAACCUUUCAACUGGAAUAAAUGUUUCUGUCAUCCUCAGAGGCUCUGUUGUUGGUCCUCACUUUUCACGUAUAUCUGCUCUCAAAAACCUAUACCAAAAAACCAAACACCCUAUCGCCUCUCUCUUCCUUUCUUUCUCCAUCUCUCUUUGCCUCCUCAUCUCUCCCACUUUCUCUCUACACCCUCAAAACCUGCACUCCAGCCCCACUCCGAACGCCUGACCCAUUCAUCGAAACCAAUAUGUGGAACCUCUUCUCAACCUCCCCCGCCCCCGCCCCCGCAAUGUUGUCGUCUCGUCUCUGAUUUGAAAACAUUUGGUUGUGGGUUGUUUUCAAUAUAAUAAGUUGGACGUGAAUAAUUGUUAGUGAUAAAUUUGGAUGGUAGAGUUUGGUAUUAUUUCAAUUUAAACUGGAGUGGUCAAGAAUUUGGUAGAACUUGUAAAAUGGAGAAACUGAAGAUGGUGAAUCAGACUUGGUUUCAGUUUAAACGGGGAUAGUUAUACCGUACUUGUAUGGGAUAUAGAGCGAUGUUGGAUGCAGCUUUAUUUUAUUGUAUCGGUUUUGUUUUGGUGUCGGAAUGGUUAUACUGUACUUGUAUCUGUUUCUUUAUCUCGUUUUGGUGUUGCUUUAUUUUUUUAUUGCUUUUAAAUCUGAAAUGGUUAUACUGCACGUGUAUUGGAUAUAGGUCUGAUGUUGGAUGUUUAUUGAUAUGAAUGUUCCAUUUAAUAGGGCUCUAACUCACAAUGGUUUUGGUUAGCUUUGAUGCGGGCAUGGGAUAAAUCAAUUUCACUAUUGUGCCGUUUAAAAGGGCUCUUAACUCACAAUGUUUUAAUAUAUUUGUUUGGUUCAUUGAUACGUCUUGUCAAAAUGUGUUUACAUUAGUUACGUGUUUGAACUUUGAUUAUAAUAUUUAGUUGAAAAUAGUUUUUCAAAAUAUUGCUGCCUAAUACAAAUUCAGUAAUUUAAUUUUUUUCUCAUACUAGCACUGAACACAUUUUCACUGUUUUUGUUUUUAGAAACAUUUUUUCAAACUAUUCUACCAGAUGCAUUAUCUAAUGUUAAAUUACAAGAAUGUUAUAUCAUUUUCAUUUUCUGAAAGGUUUUUAUGCAGAUGGUUUUGUAAAACAUCACCUGAUAGGCUCUUACUUUUCUGUAUUGUCAACCUGUCUUCAGGUCAAGAGAUGCAUGGUUAUUUUGCGCGAGAGGAUGAUCUUGGUGGUCCUAGGACUGUAAAGGAUAACAGAUCAAUCGGAUCAGCAUAUGACCGUUAUCUUCAGAAUGCGGUGACUUUCUUAAGCAUUUGAAACUAUGCCUAUUAUUAUUUGUGUUACAUCUCUCUGUUUCUGUACUAAAACAUUUGUCCUACUUGCUUCUAAAGGAAAUGGCUUCGUACACUUCUGGAGAAGCGAGUACUUUUGGUGGAGCUGGAAUGGGAAGGGCUGUUGGUGGUGGAAUGACAGGUCCUCCAAUGGCUGAUCAUUCUAUGAGGGGCCGUCCUGGAGCUAUGUCUUCUGAUGUACUAACAAAUGGUCGAAAUAUGAAUCUUGCUAAUCAGCUCCCAGUUGAUUCAAUGCCUAGGCCUGGACGUGAAACAGUUCCUUUACCUCUGGAUGCAUCCAGCACUUUAUAUGUUGAAGGACUUCCUCCUGACAGCACAAGGAGGGAAGUAGCUCGUAUCCUUUAUGAUGCUUAAGAAUUAUUGCAUAUUGCUUUCCAAUCUUAUUGUUUAACUCAAUAGUUUUUCCAUCGCUCCUCCUUUACAUAACUCUUAAGAUAUCUUUCGUCCUUUUGUGGGAUACAAAGCAGUGAGGCUUGUGAGCAAAGAGUCCAAACACGUAUGUGGGGGUGGAUUAUUGUAAACAAUUACUUUUCUUAGUCAUUCUGUUUUUCUUGAUCACUCUGACUUGAGAUUGUCGUUGUGCUACUUGGUUCGACUCUUGGGAAGUUUAUAAUCUUUCUUCACACUAAUAUUCCGGUUUGUCCAUAAUGCAGCGUGGCGGGGAUCCUCUUAUUCUUUGUUUUGUGGAUUUUGAAAAUCCAGCCUGUGCAGCAACUGCUCUGAGUGCCUUGCAAGGUGAUUGCUUUUUAUUGUCAUCAACCUUGGUGACUAUCAGUGUCAAAGAAAGCUUAAUUCUUUCUUUCUGUUUUUAUUUGUUUCCUUUAUAGCUUCACAAGUGUUAUUUUCUAUCAUACCUUAUUCAAUCAUGUAAAGGGUAAAUUUAUGUUAAAAUUCUUCCAUGCAUAGUAGGUGUAAAGAGGUUGAGGCAGUUCAUAAAAAUGUUAUAGAUGGCUUCUUGUGAUUUAAUAUUGGAGUUCAUAAUAUCUCUACACUACAUAUCGUGUAGAACUAGCUGGAUUGCUCAUUAUUUUCCCAUGUUUGUUGUUUUUGAAAAGCUGGAAGAUGCUGACAUUUGUGUUGCUGGAAGAUGCUGACAUUCAUGUAAUUCCAUGCAUAGUGUUUUAGUAUGUGUAAAGACGUUGAGGCAGUUGAAAAAAAAAAUGUUAUAGAUGGUUUCUUGUGAUUUAAGAUUGAAGUCCAUAAUAUCUCUACACUCCCGAUUGUGUAGAACUAGUAUUGCUCAUUAUAUUUUCCCGUGCUCGCGGUUUUUGAAACGCUGGAAGAUGCUUACAUUUGUGUUGCGUUUGCAGGUUAUGAAAUGGAUGAACAUGCUCCUGAUUCUAAUUACUUGCGGCUGCAGUUUUCUCGGUUCCCUGGUCCUAGGUCUGGACCUGGCCGUAACAAGAGGUGAUAGGCAUUAGGUGAUGAGAAAUAUCUGUUUUUGAUGUAAUCAAGAUUGCAUUUGCUUUUAAUACAUUCCAUAUAUAUAUAUAUAUAUAUAUAUAUAUAUGUAUUGCUCAGGCUUGGGCACACACCAACUGUAAGCACUUCUGAUGCACAUUGUUGUUUCGAGGUAGUGAAUCAGAAACAGUUUUAUAGUUGUGCAAUUAAACAGAGAUCUGAUUUUGCACGUCCAUGGUCUACAAAAUUUGUAAGUGUUUUUAGAAGUGGCAAGUUUCUCAGGCACAAACCCUUUAAAAACUAGUGUGUUUUUUUAGCAUGGAUUUGCAGGCUUCUGUUACAUAUAUCAUAUGGUAAGUGAUUUCCGCUCGCUUUUUCUCCUUGUACAACUCCUUUUUUCCUAGUUUAAGGGUUGGAUAAAUCAAAUCAAAGGAGAAUAAGUGGAAAGAAACAUAAGGUGAAUGCAGGAGGAGAAAAUGGGAACGUGCCGAUGACUACCGAUCAAACUCGUCUUUUCUUGUAACUUCCAACUGCAUGGAGAAAAGCAAGACACUGCGUGAUGAGAAUGGGCAUUGCAUGGUGUCAUGUCUUGUGGUGUUAGAAAUUUGAUCCGAGUCCUUCCCAUUUGGACUACAGUUAAGGACAGGCUCUACUAUGUCCUCCCAAUGCUAAGCACUAGGUAGUGGGCUGCCGACUAGUCUAUGUGCCACUGUACAUAUCACAUGGGCUUUCAACCCAUAAUCCUAUCCUGCUAGAGCUUCCCCCUACCCUUCUUGAAAUUAGUAUACCGUCAGGUAUGUUGCUGUCUCUCAUAUCACGUGACUAAUGAUUCGUUUGGAAUUACUUCUUUCAGAAACACUUAUACUACAAGUGUUUUUAUUGUAGACACGUUAAAUCUUUACAAACAAUCCAAGUGUUCAUUGAAAAAUAUUUGAAAGUGCUUCUUGAAAAAGCAUUUGGCAAGUGCUCCUCUAAAGAUAGUUUAUACGAGUCAAAAGAAUUUCUAAUAUUUUAUCUUUAUGCCAAUCGCAACAGAACACAUUUAGCUUUUCCAGAAUCAAUCCUAAACUAGUUCUAAGCAAAGAAAGGGCAAUAUAACAUAAGGACAACGAAGAAUCUCUCUAACAUUAAAGGUUAUGUUUGUUCGGUCACUAGACUCAAACAAAAGAGAAAAGUAGAAGUGGGCAAUAAAUUGGUUUUCGAUUACCAUCAAAUUGGCACAACAUUCGGCAUUGUUUCGCAAAAGACUGCUUUUUUUUCUUAGCAUUAGUUUUACACACACUCUAGUGUGUGGUAAAAACAAGCUAGGGUUUGGUUGGAGAACAAGUCUGAGCAGUUACAUGCCAUGUGGGCUGGAGGGUUUCGUUUGGUGCCAUUACUCUUUUUUCUUGUUCUAUCAUCCUUGUCGAACUGGAAGAGAAAAAGGAGGGGAAAAGGGAGUUUAGGGCAAAAAGGAUACUGAGUUUAUAAACCAGGAAAUGUCUAAGCAAUUUGUUUGUGCCAACGUGACUGUUAUCUAAAUAUAGCGUACUUGUGGUAUAAAAGAAAAAGGCAAAAAGGGUAACUGUAAAUAGUUGUUGUACUUAAGUGUAAAUUGUCCCACAACUUGUCCAGGGACCAGUGCAUAUAAGUUGUAGCUGCAAGUGCAAGGAGCAACCUCUGGAUUAGAUAGACGGAUGGACUUGGUUUGGUAUGAUUCCAAGUCGUCGUUGAUGUUUCUUCUUCUUUGUGGCCCAGCCACCCAGGACUAUAGUCCUUAUUUGGUAGGUAUUUAUUGCAAGGCUAACUAUAGGAUUGGAGAUAGACAAAGGGAGAUGGGACAUGGAGAAUGGUUUGCCAAGUUUGUUUAGAAUGGAUCGGGAUCAAUGCCCGUUGGAUCCCUAGUAAUUGAAUAUUAGUUAAAGAUUCAACGUCUAUGAAUCUCGGUCUAUGUUAUGAACUGUUUUUACAAUUUUCGUUCAUUGUGUAUCACGUAAUAUGCAUAAUGUUAGACAAUCCACUUGUUUUAUUUGAGACAACUGUAUUUGAUGCACUUCCUAAUUUCUGUUUUCUGACUUGCUUCAAUCUACAUUCUCUUGAUAUUUUUUUUUCCAUUUUACUCGGUUUUAUGAUAGUGAGAACAUUCAACAUGGCCUCUUCUUCCUCAAGUUGCUUCUUUGUGAUACGUAUAUCUGUUUUUGUACUAAAACAUGUAUCCUACUUGCUUUUAAAGGAAAUGCCUUCGUACACUUUUGGAGAAGCGAGUACUUUUGGUGGAGCUGGAAUGGGAAAGGCUGUUGGUGGUGAAAUGACAGGUCCUCCAAUGGCAUGAUCAUUCUAUGAGGGCCAGUCCUGGAGCUAUGUCUUCUGAUCUAUUAACAUAUGGUCGAAAUAUGAAUCUUAUUAAUCAGCUCCCAGUUGAUGCAAUGCCUAGGCGUGGACGUGAAACAGUUCCUUUACCUCUGGAUGCAUCCAGCACUUUAUAUGUUGAAGGACUUCCUCCUGACAGCACAAUGAGGGAAGUAGCUCGUAUCCUUUAUGAUCCUUCUAUGAUGCCUAAGAAUUAUUGCAUAUUGCUUUCCAAUCUUAUUGUUUUACUCAAUAAUUUUUCAAUCGCUCAUCCUUUACAUUACUCUUUAAGAUAUCUUUCGUCAUUUUGUGGGAUACAAAGCAGUGAGGCUUGUGAACGAAGAGUCAGGUUUGUCCAUAAUGCAGCGUGGCGGGGAUCCUCUUAUUCUUUGUUUUGUGGAUUUUGAAAAUCCAACCCAUGCAGCAACUGCUCUGAGUGCCUUGCAAGGUCAUUGCCUUUUUCUUUUCAUCAACCUUGGUGACUAUCAGUGUCAAAGAAAGCUUAAUUCUUCGUUCUGUUUUUAUUUGUCUCUUUAAAGGUUUGUAAAUUUUUUUUCUAUCGACCUUAUUCAACCAUGUAAAUGGAAAAUUUAUGUUAAAAUUCUUCCAUGCAUAGUAGGUACAAAGUGGUUGAGAUAGUUCACAAAAAUGUUAUGGAUGGCUUCUUGUGAUUUAAUAUUGGAGUCCAUAAUAUCUCUACACUCCAGAUCGCGUAGAACUAACUAGAUUGCUCAUUAUUUUCCCGAGCUUGUUGUUUUUGAAACGCUGGACGAUGCUGACAUUUGUGUUGCGUUCGCAGGUUAUGAAAUGGAUGAACAGGCUCCUGAUUCUAAUUACUUGCGGCUGCAGUUUUAUCAGUUCCCGGAUCCCAGGUCAAGACCUGGCCGUAACAAGGGGUGAUAGGCAUUAGGUGAUGAGAAACAUCCGUGUUGAUGUAAUCAAGAUUGCAUUUGCUCUUAUACAUUAUAUAUAUUGCUCAGGCUUGGGCACACACUAAUUGUAAGCACUUCUGAUGCACAUUGUUGUUCUAGGUAGUGAAAUCAGAAACAGUUUUAUAGUUGUGUUGAACGAUCUGAUUUUGCACGUCCAUGGUCUACAAUUUACUCAAGGAAUGUUUUAAUUCUGAAUUGAGAUUGUACUGUGCAUAGACUACCGCAAAAUUAGUACAGAGAUAGUUUCCCUAUAGAUUGUUUUCAUAUACUAGAGGACUUCCAUGGCCAGGGUAUCUUGCCACCAUAUUGUCCCCGUACAUUUUCCCUCCAUAUUAGUUAUAUAUUUAUCUGGACAUUCUAACCUAAUGAAGUCCUACAAUCAUCAUAACUCAUUUUACUUAGCUCAUGCUCCUUACAAUAUUUGAUGAACUCACAUAAGAAACUCAUAGAAAUUUGUUCCCAGUCAUUACCUUUGGACUGCAGUUGAAGCUUAUGAUACAUCCUCCCAAUGCUAAGCACUAGCUAGUGGGUUGUCGACUAAUCUAUGCCACCGUACACAUCGCAGGGGCUUUGAACUCUGUCUCAAUUAUUGUAAAGACGUUAGCCUCUUCAAUGAAAGAACCCAUAGUCCUAUGCUGCUAGAGCUCCCCCCACCCUUCUUGGAAUUAAUAUAGUGUUAGGACAUAUCGCUCUAUUUCUCACAUCACGUGACUAAUGAUUUCUUUGAAGUUACUUCUUUAGGAAACACUUAUACUACAAGUGCUUUUAUUAUAUAGAAUCUUUAUAAGCAAUCCAAGUGUUCAUUGAAAACGUAUUUGAAAGUGCUUCUUGAAAAAGCAUUUGGCAAGUGCUUCUUGAAAAAGCAUUUGGCAAGUGCUUCUAUAAAAGAGCUUAUUGGGUCAAAAGAAUUUCUAAGUUUUUUUUUCUGCCAAGCACAACAGAAUACACAUUUUAGCUUUUUCCAGAACCAAUCCCAGACAAGUUCUAAGCAAAGAAAGGGCGAUACAGCCUGAAGACAACGGAGAAUUUCCCUGACGUUAAAGGUUUUGUUUGUUCGGUCACUAAACCCAAAAAAAUAGAAAACUUGAAGUGGGCAAUGAAUUGGUUUUCGAUUUCCAUUAAAUUGGCACAACAUUCGGCAUUGUUAUGCAAAAAUAUACUUUUUUCUUAUCAUUAGUUUUACACACACUCUAGUCUGUGGUAUAAAAUGAGCUAGGGUUUGGUUGGAGAACAAGUCUACGUGGUAUCAUCACUUACAUUACAUGCCAUGUGGGCUGGAGGGUUUCAUUUGGUGCCAUUACUCCUUUUUCUGUUCUAUAAUCAUUUUGGAACUGGAAGAGAAAGUGGAGGGGAAAAGGUAGUUUAGGGCAAAAAUUUUCCAAUCAAUUUUUUGGCAGUGUGACUGUUUUCGAAAUAUAGAGUAGUUGUGGCAAAAAAGAAAAAGGAAAGGGGUAAUUGUACAUACACAUUGUUCCAAAGGGUCAGUUGUCCCACAACUUGUCAAGGGACCAGAGCAUUAAGUUGUAGCUGCAAGUGCAAGGAGAAAGUUGUGGAUUAGAUAGACCAAUGGAUUUGGUUUGGUUUAAUUCCAAGUCAUCGUCGUUUCUUCUUCUAUGUGGCCCAGCCGCCCAGGACUUUAGUCCUUAUUUGGCAGGUACUUAUUACAAGGUUAGAUAAAGGGAGAUGAUACAUGGAGAACGGUUUGCCAAGUUUGUUAGAGUGGAUCCGGAUCCAUGAGUGUUGGAUCUCUAGUAAUUGAAUCUUUAGUUAAAGAUUCAAUGUCUCAACGAUCUAUGCUAUACAUUUGUCUUUACGAAUUUUCAUUCAUUGUGUAUUACAUAAUAUUCUUGACCCUCUUAUAUGUGACUUCGGCCGACUUCUAUCACCCGAUAUCGUUGUGUAAUAACUUGAUGAGAUAGCCAAUGCUUAGGUCAUCUUCAAUGGAGAUGGCUAAAGGUCAAAAAGCUAAAAAAUAGUAUGAUUUGUUCAAAAACUCAUCUCCAACCAAUGUCAGAGCUAUAAUUAUAUGGAGCCCACCAUGCCAUUAUUUGGCUAGUGCCCCUUUCUUAGCCCCUUUUUGGGGCCUAGCUCCUCGAUUAUGCCAUCUGCAAUGAAGAGGGCUAAAUGUCUAAAAGCCAAAAAAUGACAUGAUUUACCCAAAAACUCAUCUCCAACCAAUAGCUAGGUUAUAAUUCUAUGGAUUCAACAGUUAGAUUUGGAAACAUCCAAUGUUAGUUUAAUUAAAUUAAAGUAUAAACUUAAAACUAAUAAAUUAUUAGGGAGCCUAUGUUUUAGCCCUUUCGGUUGGAGAUGGUAUAUGAGUAUGGCCGACACUAUUCAUUUAAAAAUAAUUUUUUUGUUGGGUUAUAAUUUUGGAUGAGGCUAUGUCUAGCCCUUUUGGUUGGAGAUGACCUUACAAUGAUUAAUUCAAAUUCAAUGGUUAAAUUUGAAAAUAUCCAACAAAACAUCCAACAGUAGUUUAAUUAAAUUAAUCAAUAAUUUUAAGUAUAAACUCAGAACUAAUAAAUUAUUGAGGGAGUUAUGUUUAGCCUUUUCGGUUGGAAAUGAUAUAUGAGUAUGGCCUAAUACUGUUUAUUAAAAAAAAAAUCUUUAGUUAUCUCUGCUAAUCAAUAAAACACUCAUUGUCAACCAAAAUCCUAUGAAAUUACCAGUUUAACCUUCUAAUUAAAACAAAACAUGAAUAAGAAAUAUGGGGCGGAAAUUUAAUUUUACACAAACAAAAUUUGUUGUUUUUUUUUUUCAAAACUUCAUCUAUAUAUAAUUCUAACAUAUCUCUAAUUAUAAAAUAAAUAAAAAAUAAAAAUAAAAACUUCCUACUCCCACAUUCUCUAUCACUCCCUUCCUCUCUUCUUUUAUUUUAAAACAAAAAAAAAAAUUUCACAUACUUUAUAUAUGCCCAUAUGCUAGUAAUUAUAAACGAAACUAUAUUUAACUAUUUCGUUGAAAAUGACCGUACGAGUAUGUAAAUUUUGAAAUGUGAGUUGUCGUUCACUACGCAAGCAAAGAUCGAAAGCCUUCAUGUACCGAGGGGUCCCACUCCUUGAAUCAGAAUAAAAGUGCUUUGAAAAAGUCCCUUUAAUUAUGUCCAAGUUUGGAUAAAAUUUGUCCAUGCAUGGCAUGCACUCACUGACUGAUCUCGUCGUCCUGAAGGGUAAGAGAGGUAAAUUCCAGAAUAACCCACGAGGCACUGUAUGAAGCCUGUCAAUUACAUCAACUCAUCAAGCUUUCAAUCUUUUCAUGGCAUGCCUAACUUCUGUGAAAUAUGCUCAACAUUUAACAUUUUGUAAACCAAAAAGAGAGUAAGAGAGAGAUGAUUGAAGUAAUAAAGUAAAAGCGAAAUGCAUGCAUUGAUAAAAGGAAAUUUUAACAAAAAAAAUUUCGGUACUGUUUACUUUAACAAAAAAUUAUAUUUUUACAUUAAAAAGUCAAUUCUAAUACUAUUCAUUUUACCCUUUAUUUGUUCUUUAUUGUUAAAAAUCAAAUUUUUCAAUCCAUUUUUAUUAGUUUUCCUUUGAUAAAAGGAGAAAGAUGCAUGGAGAACUGGUUUUUUAUUUUAUUAUUAUUUUUUUUACAAACAAUAAUAUUAGAGUGGAUUAAGUUAUUAGCUGUUAGCGAGAAGAGGAUCAAUAAUAAUCAAACUAGCACCCGGAUGUAUAAGCAUAAUUGUUUUCUAAAAUUGCAAUAAAACGUCACUUUCCAUAUAUAUAUAUAUAAAAAAAAAAAACUUAUUGUUCCUUGUAUGAUGGAUUGCAAUCUCAAUAUCGUUCUUAAUGGAACGGCCACAAUUAGUUGUUCAGGACAUAAACAAUAUGUAUUGUCUUUAUAUUUAGGAAAUUGGCUCUGUUAGCCUUAUUACAAACCCAACAAUUAAAAAUACUCCCAAAUUAUAAUCUCUAUUAGCCCUCUUUUCCUUAAAUACCACUAACUUGAAAGAUGAACUGUUAUUCUAUGUCUCGACGUUGGAUCUCGAUGGCAUCCAAAAGGGCCUCUCAACUCCCUUCCGACUGUAUCUCGACUGAAUCACGACGGCAUCUCAACGGCACAGAACUGAAUUACCCUUAUAUUUAUGAGUUGAUCAGACACUCCAAUUAAAUAAAAAUAACUAUAAUUAUGUCAAAAUUAUUUAGUCAGUCUCACGUAUAUAUAAUUAAUUCAUCAAACACAUAAACAAAAAAGUUCUUGUAUGUAUGCUAUACUUUGAUUUGUCUCAACAAGAAAUGACUCAGUCAUCUUUUUAUCUAUGUCCAUUGAGUUUAUGGAGGGCAACAUAUUGAGAUCUCAAAAAUCUUAUUCUCAUACAACACACUUUUUUUUUUGAACAAACGAUAUUAUCUACACUAAGGGAAAAUGGGUGGCCUAAACCUCACAAUGGGCUAGCAAUAAUGUGGUUCAAAUUCACAUUUGGCGAGAAUCAAACCUAAGACCUCUCACUGACAAGUGAAGAAGAAUAUCACUAGACCGUAGUCCUAAAAAAAAUAUAGAUCUUAUAGUCUUGCAGUGUUUUAGAUUAGCUAAAACGUUGGUAUCCAUAUUAACUUACCAAAAAAAAUAUGUUGAAUUUGCUACACCUGGAAUUUGUAGCAGAUUUGUCAUUUUAUAAAGGGGUUUUUAACUCAUUUAAAAAAAAAGAAGGGGUUUUUAACUUUAAUUCUUAAAAAAAAUUGAAAUUUAAUAAAAAUCGGAUGUUAGAUUACAUAUUAAUUAUUGUCCUUUAAUGUGUUAUUAACUCAAAUUAAUUAAUGUGUAUUUUAUUCAAUAUCUCACAUUAAAUAUUUGAAUUUAUGAAAAUGAAAAUUAUAAUAAAAUAUAAUUAAUAUAUCAAAAUUAGAAAGAAAAAGAGAAAUAAUUAAAACAUCAAAAUAUAAUUAAUAAAUGAAGUAAUUAACAUAUCAAGAGACUAAAAUUAGAUUUUAAUUUUACUCAUGUUUUUAAUUUAAAGUUAUUUUUAUCAAAAAUUAAAAUGAAGUUUCCUAUUUUGUAAAUUACAACGAUGAAAAAUGACGCGUUGCACGUAAGAAACAACAUCUAUAUUUUCUCUUUUGUUUAAUAUGCCAUCAAACAUAUCCAUCACAUUUUAAAUUUUGUGGAAGUCCCUCUCUCACAUUGAUAAAGUCUGGUUUGUGUUGGACAGCUGUCCAACAGACAACCCAAAAAUCUUCCAAAAACCAACAAACAUUUCUGACCAGUCAUGCAUACGUAUGCAUGGACCCAAUGGCAUAUAAUCAAAAAUUUUAAAUAAUGGGAUCGUAAUGUCAACUUAAAAAAAAGUUUCAUUAAGCUAUUUCAUCGAACAUUUAGUAAGCAAUUGUCAAUUCUUGUCAACAAUGCCAAAAGUUUAUGUUAAAAUAUAUCAACUACGAUAAUUUGUAGAGGCUUGUCGAGAGUGAUGUAGGAUACUACGAAGUAAUAUUGAGAACUCUUAAAGCUUUUCAACUAAAGUAUUUUAUAUAAAAAGAGAGAAAAGAAAAACAAAUAUGAUAGAAGAAAAUAGAAGAAGUAAGAAGAUGAGGUUGUAAGUUAGUUUGCUUUAGCUAUUUAUAAUGGUCAAAUAAAAUAUACAAACAAAUAUACAUGAGAUUUUUAAAGUUGUUGAGAUCAAGGAUAAUCAAUGAUCCCAUUCUAGUUUUGCCAUUGCAUGGGCCGGAUAGGGAUAUGGCUAAAAUAUAAUUCUAUUAAUUGCGUUUUGGGACUUUGUCUAACAACUUGGCUCUCUCUUGACUUGGAUGCCAUGGAUGGCUCAUGCAGUUUACUAAAACUAGUAAUGUACAAUUUUCAGAGACUAUUAAUUAUCAUCUAUCAGGAAAAUUUGAUUUCCAUGCUUGCCCUUUCACGUCGGUGACUUGGAGAUAAUAUUGUUUCUUGUCCGGAGAUGAAAUAAAAUAAAAAGACUUGCACGAUCAUACUGCAUUAUAUAUAUUACACUAUAUAGUCUAUGUUGGGAGUUAUAUAUUAGUUAAAGUAUAAAUAGUAGUCUGUUAUCCUAUAUUGAUGAAGUGCAUAUGUAAUACAAAUUGUAAUUCCUAUAUAUACUCCAUUUUGGAGAUUAAUGAAUAUAUGAGAAAUUCUCAAAUAUUAUCAUAUAUAUUUUUGGUAUUUACCAUGUUUAGUUUAAUAUAGCAUCAAAGCAGUUCGCUCUUGGUGACCUGUGUGCUUUAAUUUUGUGCCCCACAUUUGUCAUGAUUUCCUUCGUCUUGAAAAAAAAAAAGGAAAGUAAAUAGUGUUGCACUACAGUACAAACAGUGCGUAAACAGUGGUAUGCUACAGUGUUCAUGAACAAUAUUUUGCUACAGUGCCAUUAACAGUGAUCUACUACAUCACUUGAACAGUGAUGUGCUACAGUAUUAUGGUAAAUUGUUUUCAUUCCGCUGCCUAUCUUUUGUGCCUUUAUUGUUUGUGAUUUAAUUCAAUGGCUCAGUAUAAUCAUAAUGUUGUUAUGCAUCUUGGUGGAACAAAUAAAUGGAUAAUUGAUACUGGGACCACUAAUCAUGUGACUAGUGACCCUAGAAUGUUUGAUGAGUUAUGUGACUAUAUUCUUGAUCCGUAUAUUACUAGUGCAAAUGGAGCACAUUCCCCCGUGAAUGUUGAAGGCAUUAUCUCUCUUACUUCGACCUUAUCACUGGUCCAUACUUUACUUGUUCCUGAUGUUAAGUGCAAUCUUUUGUCGGUAGAAAAACUACUUGAUACUUUAUAUUGUUUUGCUCACUUCUACCCUACGUAUUGUUAUUUUCAAGACAUUCAAACUCAGAAAGUAAUUGGUCAUGGUAAAAGAAUAGAGGGUUGUACAUCUUGACUAUGGAGGAUACUGUUGUUUCCGGUUCAAAUAAUCAUCAAGUUUUAAGUGCUAAAGUGGAUGACAUACAUCAAAUUUGGUUGUGGCAUUGGCGAUUAGGACGUCUAUCAUUCAGUUAUAUGAAGCAUCUAUUUCCUGCUUUGUUUCGCAUUUGUAGUGAUUCAUAAUUCAAGUGUGAAGCAUGUGUCAUGGCUAAGAGUCAUCGUGCUUCCUUUCCCAUAAGUGAUUCUAAAGCUACUUUGCCAUUUGAUUUAAUACAUUCUGAUGUGUGAGGUCCGGCAAAUGUUACUUCUAAUGAAUUUCGUUGGUUUGUUACUUUUAUUGAUGAUUGUACUCGAUUAACUUAGGUGUUAUUGAUGAAGAAUAAGAGUGAUGUUCAUUUGCUUCUUCAAGAAUUUUGUGCAAUGGUGUAUACUCAGUUUCAGACCAAAGUUAAGGUUUUCAGGUUUGAUAAUAGAGGAGAAUAUGUGAAUCACACUUUGACAUGCUUUUUUCGUGAUCAGGGUAUUAUUCACCAGACGACUACUUUGUUUACACCCCAACAAAAUGGUGUGUCAGAACAGAAGAAUCGUCAAAUAAUGGAGGUUGCUCACUCAUUGAUGUUGGAUAAAUGUGUUCCUAAUCAUUUAUGGGGUCAUGUUGUUUUGGCUGUUGUAUAUUUGAUAAAUCGUGUUCUAAGUAGGGUUCUUGAUUUUCAGACACCACUUGAUGUGUUACAAAAGCAUGUUUAUCUUGUUUCUGUAUCAAAACUUCCUCCGAAGGUGUUUGGGUGUAUUGCGUAUGUGUAUGUCUACUCUUAUCAGCGGAGUAAACUUGAUGCAUGUGUUCUUCGAUGUGUAUUUAGUAGGUAUGCUAACAAUCAGAAAGGCUAUAAGUGUUAUCAUCCUCCGACUCAUAAAACUUAUAUUACCAUGGAUGUCACUUUCCACGAGGAAGUUUCGUAUUUUGUGAAGCCAUCUUCCGACUCUCCACUUCAGGGGAAAAAAGGGAGUGAAGUGCAUAUUUGAAGAGAUGGUAUGGAUGAUGUGUUACAGGCAGAGUUGGGGAUAGAACCUAUUAUGUUGCGUGAUACUGAUCAGUCGGUUAUAGAUAGUGAUCUGUCACCUAUUAUUCCUAAAACUAUUUUUACUGACGACAGAUUAGAUGUGCCCAACGAGUUGCUUGUCAGUAUGUCUGACGAAUUACUUUCUGAUGACCGAUUGCUUGCUUCUGGUAUGUCUAACGAGCUGCCUGAUGAUGGUUAGUUCAGUGAUGGUUCAUCCAGUGAUGAUUCUUUUAACAAUUUGGUACAAGAUAAUGACAUACAUGAGUUAAAUUCUGACGAUUCUUCUAUUUAUUAGUUGCCUCCACGAGCUAAUCGUGGAAAACCUAAGGUACAAUAUGAGCCUGAUAUGCAUGCCAAAUCCAAAUAUCCUAUCAACAAUUAUGUGUUUACUCAUCGUUUGUCCAAACCAUUUUCAUCUUACAUAUGUCAGCUAUCUAGUGUAUCAAUUCCAACAAAAUUGCACGAUGCCUUGUCUGACCCUAAGUGGGUUAAUGCCAUGAGAGUUGAGAUGGAAGCCUUGGAAAAGAAUUCUACUUGGGAUUUGGUUCAUUUACCAAAUGGGAAGAAAGCUGUUGGAUGUAGAUAGGUGUUCACUAUUAAGCACAAAGCAGAUGGUUCUAUUGACCGGUAUAAAGCCAUAUUAGUUGCUAAGGAUUAUACUCAAACCUAUAGGGUGGACUAUCAGGAGAUUUUUGUUCUUGUUGCCAAACUUAAUACUGUGUGUGUUCUUCUGUCCUUAGUAGCAAACCAGGAUUGGCCUCUGUUGCAGUUUGAUGUUAAGAAUGAUUUCCUUCAUGGUGAUCUCAAGGAGGAAAUUUAUAUGGAUCUCCCACUUAGUAUUAGAACAUCUCCUGAAAAAUGUGUUGUAUGCAAGUUGCAAAAAGCUUUGUAUAGUUUGAAACAAUCUCUUAGAGUGUGGUUUUGGAGGUUUACAAGUUCAAUGAAGAAGUUUGGGUAUGUCCAGAGUCAUUCAAAUCAUACUUUGUUUCUAAAUUGUUUCUAAAGCCACAAAAUGGUAAGCUAACUGCAUUGAUUAUUUAUGUUGAUGACAUGUUAGUGACUAGUGAUGAUCAAAAGGAGAUACAACGCCUUAAAAAAGUACCUAGCUAGUGAAUUUGAGAUGAAAGAAUUGGGUGAAUUGAAGUAUUUUCUUGGAAUCGAGGUUGCACAAUCCAAGCAUGGUAUUUUUCUGUCUCAACAGAAGUAUGUUCUUGAUUUGUUAGUUGAAACAAAUCUGUUAGAUUGCAAACUUAUUGAUACUCUGAUUGAGCAAAAUCAUCAUCUGGGCUUAUUUCCGAAUCAAGUUCCUACUCAUAAGGAACGGUAUCAGAGGCUUGUGGGGAAAUUAAUUUAUUUGUCUCACACUUGCCCUGACAUUGCUUAUGCAGUUAGUGUAGUAAGUCAGUUUAUGCACUCACCUAGUGAAGCUCAUAUGGAUGAAAUAGUCCGUAUUUUGAGGUGCUUGAAGAUGGCUCCUGGCAGAGGCUUGGUUUUCUCCAAGAAUGGUCAUUUGAAUGUCGAAGGGUAUACAGAUGCAGAUUGGACAAGUUCUAUCACUGAUUGGCGGGUGGUAAUCUAGUUACUUGGAGAAGUAGAAACAAAAAAUGGUGGCUAGGUCAAGUGCUGAAGCUGAGUUUCGUGGUAUGUCUCAUGGUGUAUGUGAGUUGUUGUGGUUAAAAAAAUUGUUGAGAGAUCUUGGAUUUAAACCCAAUGGUGCUAUGAAACUCCAUUGUGAUAACAAGGCUGCUAUUGAGAUUGCUCAUAAUCCAGUGCAACAUAAUCAAACAAAACAUGUGGAGAUUGAUCAACAUUUCAUCAAGGAAAAUUUGGAUGCUGGAAUUAUUAUGUUUCCGUUUGUGAGAUCUGAAGAUCAACUCGCUGAUGUACUUACUAAGACUGUGUCUAAUAGUGUGUUUUCCAACUCGCUUGACAAGUUGGGCAUGCAUGACAUCUUUGCUCCAACUUGAGGGGGAAUUUUACGAGUUAUAUAUAGUUAAAGUGUAAAUAGUAGUCUGUUGUCCUACAUUGAUGAAGUACAUAUGUAAUACUAAUUGUAACUCCUAUAUAUACUCCACUUUGGAGAUUAAUAAAUAUAUAAGAAAUUCCCAAAUAUUGUCAUAUAAAUUUUUGGUAUUUAUCAUGUUUAGUUUAAUAGUCUAAACAUCAGGAAAUACACCAACCCUAAACCUAAUGGAUUUUAUGAAGCCGCUGGUUUGGGUACACAUUAAUCUAACCUAAUUGCUCUACCACAUUCUAAACACAAAAUUUGUUAUAAAUAGGAUGAUUAAAUUUAUUUUCUCAAGCGGUAGAGUAGUGAACCUCACAGCGACGACAAUCUUCCACCCCCAAAUUCGGGUUUUUUUGUACUAAAAUGGUCUUUUAUGUAUAAGAACUUUACGAUAAGUUUAUUAAAAUUGGCUCUGUAUCUACGAAAUCUCAACAUCCAUACGUUACAAAAUGGAUUAGAACUCCUAGGAAAUAAAAUAGAACAUAUGAUGAUCCCUUUAAAGGGCCUUAUAAUGGGGAAGACUUCUCACAGAAUAUAAGAAGACGAAGAGGAAAACUAAAAACUUAGAACUUCAAGGAGAUGGACUGGAGCAGGGAGAAUGGCAAAGAACCGGAACCCAGAAGACCCGCAACGAAAAAGAAAACACUGUACUUUUUUUAGACAUUUUUUCACAUUUCUUCUCGGCCUUACAGCCAAGUAGCAUUUUCCGACCCCAAAUAAAGAUAGAAGGAAAAAACCAAAUUAAGGUAAAUAAAUUUUCUAUAGCAACUUGGCAAACAAAAACAUACUAGAAGAAAACAAGGAAAAUACAAAGAAAUUAAGGAAGUAUGGGAAACAAAAUAAAUUUAAUACGGGACCAACGACAACGGUGCAAAUGUAUAUUGUUCAGGAAAUAAACUUUUAGCGAAAAUGUGCUGCAAAAUUGACCAAUUUUGCUUCAUAUUCACACUCAAUUUUUUUAAGAAUUAAUAUCUGUAGAGUUUAGACCAAAAAUAAAAUAAAAAACAAAACCAAAAUGCUACUCCACUUUCUUGGUACUUAACUCAGCUCUCCACCUCCUUCCAAUCUUACAAGCUUCUAGAUUUAGAUUUGUCUCAAAUCACAUGCCAACUAACCUGCCCAGCUCAAUUUUAUUUUUUCUUUGGAAAUUCCAGUGCGUCUCUACUUUUGUUUUUCUAAAUCUUACUUACUCCCAUUAUAAUUGGAAUUUUAUAUAUUUAUAUGGAUGCUUUGUCAAGAUAUGAGAGAAAUAGUAGUGAUUCAAAAAGAUGAUUAGGAGCCAAAAAUAUUUAUUAUUUUAGAUUGGUGUUUAUGUUUUUGAACAGUUAAAAACUUUUUUGGUCAUUGUGUUUAUGUUUAAAAUUUAUUUUGGUCACUGUAUUUUAUUUUCUGCUAAUUUAGUUACUGUGUUAUCACAAGUUAGCAAUCUUAGUCCUUCUCAAUCAAACGUUAAAAAAAACGCACAUGACAUGCAAGUGCAGGGGUAACUAUGUAAGUGAAAAUAUAUCUUUGCCCCUGCACGAAACUGUCACGUGCAUUUUUUUGGCGGUUGACUUAUGGUAACGCAGUGACCAAUUUGGCAGAAAAUAAAACACAAUGACCAAAAUAAAUUUUAGAAAUACACACAGCGACCAAAAACGUUUUAAUUUAACCCAUUUUUAACAGUCCAGCCAGCUACCAUGAAAGCUACAACAUGAAAGCUGACUGUCAAAAUUUUGUUUAAAAAUUCAUACACAAUAAUCGUCAUAAGAACGUGCAAUAGGUACUUUGAAUUCUUAAAUAUACUGCAUGGUUACCCUUUCCUUUUGUUUUAUACAGAGAAAUCUUGACAGGCAGUCAAAAGCAAAAUUAUGUUCUUCUAGUGAUAUCUGUGUGCUAAAAAGGAAGUACGUAGCUACGUUCAGUCUUCACCUAACACUCCUAUUUGCACCUAAAAGAUGUGGAUAACAAAGAUUUUGACCAAAAUCACAUUGACAAGUACUUGCCAAAGGAUCACGGAACCUAUGAUUGUAAAAGAUAUACGUGUUGGGCCUGACCGACGUUAAUUAGUUGUUCAUAUUGAUUUGAGAAAUUUGAUUGAAUGAGGAUUAACAAAUCACAAUUGCUAAAAUAUUAAAAUGUAUUAACUGCGACAUAUUGGUUAAAUAAUUAUUGCACAUCGAAAAAAUAUUGACGAGUAAUUAUGAAUUUUUAUUUUCAUUAUUUCAAACAUUUUUAUAUUAGAAAAGCUAAAGAAAAUGAUUUAAAAACUUUGAAUUUUAAUGAUACGUACAAAAUGAAAGGUAAAAUAAAUAGUACCAGAAUUAACUUUUUGUUUAAAUUUUAUUUUCUAUUUGGCAUCAACUUUUGGUUUAAAUAUACUAUAUAACCCUCACAAAAGAAAAAGCAUGGUGUACUAGUAGCUAAAAGACAUAAAAAAGGUUAAUCUUAAUUUAUUAUUCUAAAGUUUCUUAGUUUUCAAUAUUUGGUAUAUAAAGUUUUUUUUAUUCUAGAGUUGUACAUAAAGUUAUAAUUUUGGGAUACUUUCAUACAUCCAUUAAGGUUGCUGUUAAAUUUAUCAUUAACUGAUGAUAUGACAUUUAUGUUGACAAUGACACGUAGAUAUUAAAAAUUAAAAAUUAAAUUAAUAAAAUAAUAAAAAUUAAAAAAAAAAAAAAAUUGGGCGUCUUCACCCUCACCCCUUCUGACCCCCCUCCCUUCUCUCCUCUGCACCCACGCUUCCCCCUCCCUCUUCGACUCCACCCAACGCUGCACUCCGAGGAUUGUUGCCAUCCUUUCAAGCCCAAUUUCGCCCCCAAAUAGGCCCGGGCAGUACUUGGCCAUAAACUUCAAGUCGUAGACCCUCUCGAACAAACGACCUGCCAUCUUUGCGAACUCAGUGGGGGAGCUGAGGAUGGUCUUCCUCGUCACCAGCUUCAUUACAUAGGCCGAGUCGUAGAGGCCGUGGAAGCUCACCCAUACGAGCUGCCCCCUGUGCACCCUUAAAAUCUCAACGAAACCCUCCACAAAAAUAUCCGAAUCAAUGCCGAACUUCCCAAAUUUCUCGAGAUCCAAGCCAUUCGCUUUGAGGAGGGCAAUGGAUUCUGGAACAUGGGGGUCGGUUUCCUCGUCAAAACCCCGAAAGUUGAACUCCCAGGUGCCGCCGACGUUGCCGCGGUCGUCGAACAGGGUGAUACCCACUUGGAUGAGAUUGAGAGAAUCGACAUUAAGGGCGAUAUCUUGGUAACGGAGGCCCUUGGAAGUGCCUCUGGGGGUGUUGCGGAGGAACCCCGGAAAUUCGGUGUCGAACGAGACGAUCGGAAAACGGCAGAGACACCGAUCGACGGAGGGAAGGGGAAAGGUGGGUGCAAAGGAGAGAACGGGAGUGGGGUCGGAAGGGGUGAGGAAGAAGAUGCCCAAAUUUUUUUAUUUAUUUAAUUUUUUUAGUUUUUAUUAUUUUAUUUUUUAAUAUGCACGUGUCAUCAUGUCAUUGUCCACGUGGAUAACACAUCAUUAGUUAACAGUAAAUUUAAAGGCAACCUUAAUGAAUGUAUAAAAUUGUUCCAAAAUUAUAACUUUAUGUACCACUCUGAGAUGAAAAAAACUUUAUUUACCAAAUAUUGAAAACAAAAAAACUUUAAGAUAAUAAACUAAUAUUAAUCCUAAAAAACUACUAAAGGAAAGGGUGAAAGAAAAAAUUAUUAGUUUGUGCUGUUCUCAUGGUAAUAGUGGUUUUUGUAUUGUACGAUCAUGUGUUACAUUUUAUGCAUUAUUAUGUGGAUGAAUGAAUAAGUUAAUUACAUCGCAUGUCAUAGGGUGAAUAUUACAUUAAAAAAUUCUUCAUUCUUGUUAUUCGUCAAAUUAAUGGUUGUGCAUUUGUAUGAGGACCUAGAUCUGUUGAGGAUGCAGAUCUUCACUCGUUGAAGGCCAUCCCUAUCUAUCUACUACUACUCUUUGGAAAAUAAUUGACUACAGAUGAUUGUACAAAAAAAUAAUUAAUAUUAUCUGAACAGCUCACCAUGCAUGUUCAGUAAAGUAAAGCGGAUUUGUUUAUUCAUUGUCUAGUUCAAACUUGGGGAGCAUUUUCUCAUUCUUGCGGUGAUCAGAAUAAUGUGAUUUAAGUCCAGUUAAACAUGCUUAAUUAUGCAUUUAAGCAUCUUUUAUUUAUUUGCUUUCAUUAUUUUUUCCUUCUUAAUGUGUUGUUAUUGUUUGGAACAACAAGUAAGACAAAUCUAGCCAGUUAGCAUUCACCGCAUCACCGCAUAAUGAAAGAUUAUUCAUAUUUGGAAAUGAAUAAUUAAUUAAAAAACUGUAUUAUUAAGGCAAAUGGGCACUUAAUAUUUGUAUCUUAAACCUUCCGAGUCGGAUAUUCGAGUAAAUUAGUUAAAAAGCUAUGCAAAAUGUGAAUGUGACAGACUACGUAGUAAAGUUUGGGUUAAGAGAGAGAGAGAGAGAGAGAGAGAGUAUUUCGCAGCCGGCUGGUCCCUAUGUACGGGAAGAAUCAUAGAAAGUUAGGUAACUACACACAUUUUUCAAAGAUGUCGAUCAUGAAAAAUAUUUGAUAACAAAUUCAGGGAGGACAUACUGCUUAAAUUAUUAACCUAGAAAUAAAGUUCGAUCUCUUGCUUUAACUUUUCUGCUACGUAGCUCUUAUUGCAUUAAACAAAGCCUUAUUAAAGUAAAGAUGGUCACACCCUUAGCCCUUUAGGUGAUACGUUCAGGGAAAUGGUUAAUGUUUUUACAAGCUCUUGUUUAUUUUUAUUUUUUAAUAUUUUCAGAUAUUUUUACAAUCUUUUACUGCGCAGUAAUAGAGUGUAAAAAUCAUAUCUAUGUAUUUAUUUAUUAUUAACUAUGUUUACAAUGAACCUUCUAUUCCAUGAAACAAGAUAUAAAAAUAAAAAUAAAAAGGAGAAGGGCAUAAAUUAACAAAAUUCGGUCAAAGGCCGCAUUGGUCCAAACAUUAAUUGAUAAUCUAUGACAAAUAGUCUGGCCCCAUUAGCAUUAUUUUAACAGUAAUAUUGUUUUUUUACUAAGAUAAUUAAUAAUUGCCAAGUGAAAAUUUGGCAUGAGUACCAUUGUGAAGGGUAAAAACCAAAGCUAUAUAAAGGGUGAGGAGGCUUAGCUUCAGAGGCAGACAACCAAAAACCCAUUCUUAACGAAGGAUGGGAAAAAUGGUGCCUUCACAAGUGACCUCUCUUGUGGUCACUCUCCUAGUGGCAAUAGUCUCUCUCACAUUGCCUUCAGAAACUUCAGCUAACUACCCUUACACCUCUCCACCACCACCGGCCUCUCCUCCCUACCAUUACAAGUCACCACCGCCUCCUUCUCCUUCUCCUCCAGUGCACUACUCACCACCUAAGCAUCCCUACCACCCUAAGUCACCACCACCUCCUGUGUACGCACCACCUAAGCAUCCCUACCACCCUAAGUCACCACCACCUCCUGUGUACCCACCACCUAAGCAUCCCUACCACCCCAAGUCACCACCACCAUCACCAAAGCCUUACCACUACAAAUCCCCACCACCACCUCCUGCUCCAGUGCACUCACCACCCCCACCUAAGGAGCCAUACCACUACAAGUCCCCACCACCACCACCCAAGAAGCCCUACCACUACAAAUCUCCCCCACCACCUCCUCCUCCAGUUCACUCACCACCACCACCCAAGGAGCCUUACCACUACAAAUCUCCACCACCACCACCCAAGAAACCUUACUAUUACAAGUCUCCUCCACCACCACCAAAGAAGCCUUACCACUACAUGUCUCCUCCCCCACCGGUGUACUCACCACCUCCACCAGUGCACUCACACCCACCACCAAAAAAGCCUUACCAUUACAAAUCUCCUCCCCCGCCAGAAUAUUCACCAGCUCCACCAGUGCACUCAACCCCACCACCAAAGAAGCCCUACCAUUACAAAUCCCCACCACCACCACCACCACACAAGAAGCCUUAUUACCCUGUUCACUCACCACCUCCACCUAAGAAGCCUUACCACUACAAAUCCCCACCACCACCUUCUCCUACUCCUCCUAAAUACUCACCACCUAAGCACCCCUACCACUACAAGUCUCCACCACCACCACCAAAGAAGCCUUACCAUUACAAGUCCCCACCACCUCCUUCUCCUACUCCCCCUAAAUACUCACCACCUAAGCACCCCUACCACUACAAGUCACCACCACCACCACCCCAAGAAGCCUUACCACUACAAGUCUCCACCACCACCACCUCCUCCAGUUCCCACACCAUCUCCACCCAAGAAACCUUACCACUACAAGUCUCCCCCACCACCCCCUCCAGUCUACAAGUCUCCUCCACCACCAGUUUACUCACCACCACCACCACCUAAGAAACCUUACAAGCCACCAACUCCUCCAGCAGUUCACCCACCACACGGUUACAUCUAUUCCUCACCCCCACCUCCUCACCACUACUAGAUAUUGAAAGUUUAAUUGCAUCAAGCUGGUAAGCUUCUCCAUUCUAUGCUAUUAUUCAUUAAUUAGUUAGUACUACUGUUGUCAAUUUGGAAAUCACCAUAC